CUUCUGGAAACUUAAACAAGAAGAGUGAUGUUUAUAGUUUUGGAAUCAUACUCUUUGAGUUGAUCACGGGCCGACCUGCAAUAAUGAGAAGCCGGGAUGGCAGCACUCGCAUGCACAUACUUGAAUGGUUGAUUCCUUUCGUUGAAAGUGGUGACAUACAUAGCACUAUGGAUCAAAGGUUACGGGGGCAAUUUGACAUCAACUCGGCUUGGAAACUAGUGGAGAUUGCUAUGUCUUGUACACGACUAAUGGCAAUUCAAAGGUUGGACAUAAAUCAGUUAUUGACAGAGUUAAAGGAGUCUUCGGUGAGCAAAUCAAGUGGUUCUUUUGAAAUGACCUCCUUGGAGCUCACAUCUGAUACUAUCCCUAUGGCUACGUAGCUGAACUUCUUCAAUCCAGUAAGACUAUCGUCUUCUUAGGAAAAAAUUGACUUAUGUCCACAAAUUUGUACUAUUUUUUGUAUUGCGUAAACCAUUCCCCUUUUCUCUUCUGUGAUUGAAUCUUCCAAACUUGCUUUAUAACAGUGAUAACCUUUCGUCCUUUUUCGCUCCUUUCUCCAUUCACGAUGUCAGUUUAUGGCAUUCCUAACACUGCGAAAUUGGGAAUUCCAUGUUGAGUUUGGGGGGAGGAGAUUUUGAGGUUGGGGUUAUCCAUGGAUGGGGUAAUUGGCGUUUGCAGGCCCUCAUAGCACGUUCUUGGGGUUCAGCUGAGAUUUCAGCUGGAACCCGAACCAUUGAUUAAGUAGCAGCAAUUUCGCAAUUUUGAGGGGGUAGAUUGAGCAAAUUUAAAGAUGAGGGACAUAUAUGGAACUUGGUGGUCCUAAUGUAGGGCCACAGCAAUUUCUCACAAGCAACUUGGGAUGUACACACAAGCAUUGUUGAAAAAUCAUGGAUAAUGCAUUCAUUUGUAACAUAUCUAGAUAGAAGGCAAUCCCUAUCUCAUCUAAUUCUUAGAAUUUGGGAUAGGCCUGCUGUCUUGGGGGUUCCGAUGCAACAACCAGUAUCAUUGACCAGAAGAGAGCUACUUGGCCAGAGAAGAUGCGCACGACCGGUGUGACAUUGCCAUUGCCUGAUUCGUCAAAAAAGGACCCACCGACGCGCCAUAGAAUAGUCCGAUAUAUGGCAAUCAAUGGCGGGAUUCAUAAAAAAUGAGGGCUCAUCCUUAGCAAGCAAACCCAAAAAAUGAACUUGUUAAUGAUCUUAGACCAGCAGGAAUUUGUGCAUACCAUGACAUAAAUAUGUGAUGUCCCUUCUGAGUAUGGGGAACUUUGAUCAAGCACUAGAUGCACCAAUAGAACCACAGAGUCAAAACACUUGUUAUAUAGAAAGUGUGUACUUAACUCGAGUGCCUUAUCCUCGAUUCUCUAGUGACUUAGGUGGUCUUCCAUGAGAAUUGACAGUCAAGUCACUUUUGAUGACUAUGGAUUCAUCACUUGUGACAGAAUAAUUGAGACUGUAAAAAAGAGAGAAGACAAGGAGACUAGAGUUUGAAUAGCGACAUCUAUUUUACACAAAUAGAUUGUCUGCUAAGUUAUCGACUUCCGCCUCUAGCUAAAUAAAGAGAACCUAAAUCAAAGAGACAUGAUUCUGAAUAAUUAGAUAACCAUCAUCACUCCAGCCAAGACACUGUCAAGAGCAACUGGACUUAUUAAAUAAAGAUAUAGAGAUAUGGUUUAAUAUAAACAUGGAAAAGAAGAAGAUACAUGGUCACUAAAUGAAAGGAAAUCUUAAAGCAAAACUUAGCAAUGAUAUUGCUGUUGUCUCAUAGUAAAUGAUGGACCAAAGAUACGGUCAAUAAACAAUGACCCUUCUUCUCCCUAUGACUUCCAGAGAAAAGUAUAAAGCCUUUGUUCAAGCAUAUAAAGAUGCGCAAGAUUUGCUAUAAUCUUAUUUAAUGAUAUUCUAACAUUUGUUUUUACUCUGUCAAUAUAAACACAAAAAUCAUAUCAUUAUCACAAAUGAAACCAACUUUUUAUGACCCUUCUCUGCUCUCAUAUUCCUAAUUUUUUUUCUCUUUAAAAAAAAAAAAGAAAAUCAUUUUCCACAAAAUUUAUCUCUCUUUGGAAGGAAAAAUCAUCAACCGAGAUUCUUUUUCCUGGUCGAAUGAAAUGAGUAUAAAGCAUAUCUCACUUUUACUACAGCAAAGUCUUUGCUUUUUAAUUUCUUUAAUCGCAGUGCGAUGUGCAUUAUUGAUGCAAAAUAAACUGUUUAUUGUUCUCGAGUCCAAUGCUUUCUUCCUCAAGCCAUCAAUAAAAGAACGGAAUGAAUCACUCUUGUCAGGGAUCAUUUAGGAAUAAAAUAAUAUGAGCGCAUGAACUUUUCAAUGCAUUCCAAAGCACGUCAUUCCAUAAUUUCAAAGUAUGUACCAAUUUCACCUAAUUAAUUAGAUUCAAUUUCGCUCAAAAACCUGAGUUAACGAUAUCUCCGGGAAAUGCAUAUUUAUCAAUAGACGAUUUAAUUUUGAUUCUAAUAAUGUGGGAUUACUGUGUAUGGAAAGCUUGUGGAAUCAAUGCUAAUUGUUUUAAAAUCUUUGACAGUGGGAUGAAAACAUUGUUCAAUAUUAAAAUGUCGUGUUAAAAUAACUCACCUCAUUUAUUUAUAGGAGGUUUAUAUUCUCUUUAUGGACAUAUAAUCUCCUUCUACCUAUAAGUUUAAUCUUUUAGAUUGGACAUUCUAACACGGUAUUAAGUCGGUUUCUGCCUCCCGUCAUUUUAUAAUAUAAGUCCAAAUCUAAAUCUAUCAUUUAUAUUUGACCGGACCAGAUUAGACCAAAUUUUAACUGAAUAGUCAACUCGAUUGAAUUAUUAUUAUAUCAAAUGUGAACUUCUACAUUUCCUACCACCUCAGACCCUGAGUACUAGUAUAAAGCUGAUGUUAAUAUGGGUUGCAUGUAAUAUCCUCAAUCAUGUAUAUUGGCAAGAGACCUUUCUCUGUCUGCUGGAAAGGGAAGAUCAACGUUGCUCCUCUCUCUCUCUCUCUCUCUCUCUCUCUCUCUCUCUCUCUCUCUCUCUCUCUCUCUCUCUCUCAUUGAAAAAGCCAUCAAGAAGAAGAGAGAAGCAGAACGACAAACAUGGAAUCAAACUUAUACUUCAGUUCUAGCAAGUCUGCAUGGUCGAGAUUGAUGAGAGAGGAUUAAUUUUUUUUUAAAUUAGAUUAAUCACACCUAAUUAAUCCCAACGGUCAAGGCCCAUAAGAGAUUACCACUUUUGAUUUCCUGAGCUGCUAUGGUAGAAAUUGGGAAUAAAUUGACUAUUUGGAUCUAGACGCGUUGAGGAAGAUCGAAGCCCUAAUUGGAGAUUAGAUAAAGAGAACAAAAGGAAGAAAGUGCGAGUGAGACGCCGUCAUUCUUUGAGGAAUGGUUCGGACAUAAACGGCGUUGUUUUUCUUAUAAAGAGAGAGCCAGCGAGUAGAACGGAAAUGACGUCGUUUCUCUCCAAGUGAACGAAAAUUCCAUGUUGGACUUCCCUUUACCUUUAAAAAAUCCACGCUGAAAAAAAAAAUUAGGUUAAAAAAAAUCCACAUAAGGCGUUUUGUCGGAAAUGGCACUCAAAUGAAUAAUUAUACUCCGAUGUGACAUUUAAGUAAGCAAAAAAAAAAUUUGUAUUCAAAUGAGUACCGUACAAAGAUUAUAACACUUUUGCUAUUUUUAUCUCUAACCUAUUUUUUCUUAUUCAAUCCCGUCCUUCCAUCAAUCAUUUGUGCAAUGCGAUUGGCUCUACCUCUAUCUAUGGGAGAUUUAAUCUCAUUGUCCUAUGAGGAUACACAAUUUCCAUUUCGUAAAAACGAAAUCAAUUGAACGAUCUAUUUUUAAAAUCAUGGGCAUUGCAUUCUCACGUUCUCACAAAAGAGAAAACAUAAAUAUGACUUAAAGCAUCGACCUUCUAAAGGUUCUUAGACUAGAGAGAGAUUCAUGUCUUUUAAACUUUGUUAUUUGUUAUGUUAAUCAUGAUUAACAUAUACCUAUAUGAAAAGAAAUAUGUAGUUGAGAGAUGAGCUAAAUUUGUUAAAGUCAACUAGAAAGCAUUUACUGCAAAAGGGGGAUUAUAUGAGUGGUUUAAGUGAAUUGUUUUAUUUAAUUUUCAAAAUUGGGAGCAACAUAGAAAAAAAUAAAAUAAAUAUCCAACUCAUGAAUAGGCCACGUAAUCAAAAGCGUCCGUGAGAUUUGAGAAGAAGCCAGUAUGGAUGCGGCCUUACGGGCAAAGGGAUUGUGGGGUUGGUGCUGGAGAAUAAAAAGUCUGGGUUUUGAUUCUCGUGUGCGCCGCUCACACAUAUACAUAAUAGGGGGGAGUGAGGGGAAAAAAAAAACAAAAGGGAUUUGAGAAGAAAAAAAUUAGCAUAUCUGUGAAAUUUGGGGAAAAAAAAAAAGCUUCCAAAUCGCAUCUACUGUUCAAAACACACUGUUCAAUAUAAGAUUAUUUGCUUGAAUGUUUAUAUAGAUAGAAAUUUUUUCCUGGGGGAUAAACAAAUCAAAAGGUAAAAAUUUUUGAAAAUCAGGCACUGGGCCAAAAUACCUCUUUUUCUUUAUAAAAAUAUUGUCAAUUUACUAUUCACAUUUGUUAACACCUAAAUUUUGGCAGCCCGUUUAGUUAUUUAUCGCAUUAAAAAUUAGGGUUUAAUUUUAUCCCUAAAAAAAAUAAUUGCAUAGCAUAUAGAUUUAGGUUCAUUUAUUUUUAAUUUACAUUUUAUUUAUUGGACCGGUGGCGAAUGGGUUCAAAUUAGUUGGACUAAGCCCACGAAGCUAGUAAGUUGGCCCAAGCCUAUAUAUAUAUAUAUAUAUAUUUUAUAUUGAUCGAAAAUUAUGUCGUGAGAAAAUAGGAAUUUCGAAAUUCUUCCGAGAUAUGAAUCUUUUGGAUAUGGCAUAUGUGUGAAAAAAUAUUGUGAUUUAUCUUUGCAAGAUUUGGAUUUAGAGAAAAAUAUUAUCGUAAUCUUGAAGAUGUGAUAAGUUGGUGAAAAAAUAUUGCAAAUGUAGAUUUGAAGGGGAAAUCGAAAACCUAUCUCCUACCCCCUGUAAAAGCAAACAGUGUACGAGGAGAAAGGGGGGUUCUUUUCUCGAGGGUGUAGUUAAAAAAUUGAAGAAAUUUCUCCUCCAGUUGAGAAAAGUGAAAAAGUCUUCUGCAGAAAGUACAUAGUGCGCAGAGGGAGAGUGACGAGAGAGAGAGAGAGAGAGAAGGAAAAAAGAAAACCGGAUCGUCUUCUUCGUAGGGGGGCUUUGACCUCGCAGGCCCCGCGUUUGCACCAGCAGACGCCGGAAUUGUCUCUGUCGGCCAUCUCCGACGCCGUCGCCUGCUCUGGCUCGCGACCCUAGCGCCGACGCCCAGCAGCACCACCGGAGUCCGAUGCCGCCGUUCGCUCGCAGCAGCUGCCGGACCCCCUUAGCCUCCGCCUACGCCCCUGCGCAGAGCCCGAUCUGCUGCACCGGAACGCUGGUCUCGCCCCCGACUCGUCUGCAACCUGCGGCUUAGCAGAUCCUAAGCCGGCCCGCCUCCGUCGUGCUUCCAACUGUCACCCCCGACGCCCACGCCAGUAACCUGCGCUGCUCCGUGACUGCCCAGUGCCCGACGCCCUUGUCCACGACCGCCCAGUGUCCAACUCCCCCUCCUCCGUGCAACGAUUCUGUAGCCGCUCUGUGCUCGUUGCUGUGGCACCAUCGCCCGCGACACCCCUCACCGUCGCUGCUUGCCAGCCUUCACCGAAGCUCCGACGCUGGUCAUCCUCCACCCGGCGCCGACCAAUCUGCUGCCACCUUUCCUUAGGUUGCUUAUUUUUCUUUUGGUCUUUCAUUUAUUUUAUGUUUUUUUUUUUUUGAAGUUUUGCUAUUAUUGUACUAAUUUGAAUGUUGGGAAUUGAUUAUCAUUUUAUUGUAGGCAUUAUCCACAGAGUUUUCCCUAAAAUUAUUAUAAUUAUUAAUUUGACCCGUAAGAUGUCGGGUCAUUUUUUUUUUAAUUAUCUUAAUUUUUAGGGUUUGUUGAUAGUAUUUUAAUUAUUGAAUCAAUAUAAUUAUUAAUUUGAUCCGUAAGAUUUCGGAUCAGAUUUUUAAUUAUUUUGAACUUUAUGUUGUAAUGUUUAGGGUUAAAAUAACCAUUAAUUUAACCCGUGAGACAAUGGAUUAUUUUUUCGGUUAUUUUAAUUCUCAUUUAAUGAAUAUCUUGAUUGUGUAGAUAUAGUUACUUAUCUUGGAAAAACACUAAAAGAAUCAAAAAAAAAAAAAAAUCAAAAUCGUGCAUCGGCAUGUAGGUUUAGUAGAUUAAACAUGUAAGUUUAGUAAAUUAGACAUAUAGGUUUAGCAAAUUAGAUUUUUUUUUUUUUUUUAGGAUUACAUUCUUAGGGUUACAUUUAGGGUUAGACCUAAAUAAUUACUUUUUUUUAAAAAUAGGGUCUUAGAUAAUGUUGGCGCAUUUUAAUUAUUCCAUUUUUCUUUAAAAAAUAGUUUUCUAAGAUAGGAUAUGGUUUGAGUCAAAUUAAUCCCUGAAAUAAAUUAGAAAAUUAUUCGUUUUUUUAGAUAGUUUAAUUAGGGUUUUUAUUAACCCCAAAUUUCAAUAAAAAAAUACAAAAACACUAGGAGCAUGUUAACUAGUUUGCAUAAUAGGAUAAUUUAAUUAGAGUUUGUUAGUAAAAUUAGGUUUUGCAUGUCACUUAGUGAUUGUUGUUAGGUCCAUUUAAUUAGAAAGUUGCUUGUCAUUAAAUCAGGUCAUUUAGUUAGAGUGCCUAUUUUAAUUUUGAGAUAAAAAACCCAAAAAAAAAAAAAAACAAUCGUUUGCUUCGUGCGUUUAUUUCUUUUGAUGCAAUUUGUUUAAUUAAUUGAGUAUUUAAUAACGAUUGAGUACUCAUAUGAUCACCAUAUUGCAUGAUAGGAAUUUAGGUUAAAAUAAACCUAAGCUGCCUGCAAAAGCAUUUUUGAAAUUAAAAAGAAAUGGUACCGAAAGGGCGGUACCAAAAGGGCAUUAGAGAAAUCUAGUGUAACCAAGUUUCCACACCCUUAGUCUCUGGUUCGUAGGAGUAAAAUAAUUCUCCCAUUAUUUUACUUAGGUGUCUAAUCGACUUACUAAAAAUGGAUUAGUGGCGAUUCCUGAUUAAAAAAAAUCAAUUGCAUGUUGAGAAAUUGAACUUAAGUCGCGAAUUGGUAUGGGCUUGAGAGAGCCCGAGCUAAAUUUAGGUUUAGUAAUCCAUUAGCCUAAUUUUAGGUGGUGCACUCGAAAUUUAGAUCAUGACAGCUUGAUGACUUCGCUGGGGAUCCGUGUGUUACACUUAGUGGACUUAUGCCACUUUUUCUUUUUCUUUUAAAAAUGUUUUUGUUUGGCAACGAGGAUCCCGGGUACAUCCCUAAUUUAAGUGUUAAAUGUUCUUACAGAUGGGAGGUAUAAGGGGAGUAGUCUUUACUAACCCCUGUCUUGCAGGUUGGAGUAGGGAUGCAUGUUUGAAUUAAAAUUAUAAAAGUGUUGCUUGUAUUUAAACUGUUGUGCAUGUUUUAUUGCUUUUAGCACUACACUAUUGCACACACAACCUGCGGUCGGACCUGGGCUGCGAUAGGAUUUCUAGGAUGGUGUUGAGAAGGAUACUUCCUCCAAAGCGAGACUGCUAUGUAGAGGUUGACUUUCUCUUCCCCGAAAUUUCUUUCAUGGCAAUUUCUUUCAUGGUGUCGAAUGUGUUUAUCUAUAUUCGCGAGACUGCUUGAUUAUUGGGUAUUCCAUUCGACUGAGCCGGGGUUAGGAGGACCUGACACGUUAAUGCGAGAUUGCAACGGUCAGAUCAUCCUCUUAGCUCCACCUUGUUAAGCCAUCUAGAUAGAAUCGAGUCUCACUUUUCAUGCGUGUGUAUAUGAUUGUCAUCCAUUUCUGGUGAAAGUAAGUUGUCUAAAUUCUUCGCAAUUUAUUUACUUUAUUGCAAUUUUGUUGGUUCAUGACAAUAGGUUUCAUCGUUAGUCUUGUUUUAUAUGCGAUGAGGAAAAUCGACGUACAAUUCAUUUCCACUCAAAAAAAAAAAAAAAAAAAGAGCUUAAGAGGUGGUUGGAUCAGUUAGACCAAGAUGGCCAGAGAUACGUGGAAGCCAGGAUUGCUCGACUUCUUCCACUGUUAGAGAUCAACGUCCACUCUGGUGUGAUACAAGCACUCCCUCACUUCUGGUGUCCACAAACUUCCACCUUCAUAUUUGGUGAGUUUGAAUUGACUCAAACACUUGAAGAAUAUAGUGUUGCCAUUGGAAUGCCCCUGGAAAAGGAACUUGUUAGGCUGCCUAUCGGUAUAGAUUCUAUUUUUGAAUUAUCACAGCUUUUAAAAUUCGAAGCCGAAAGAGUAAGGAAGGUUAUUAAAGCCAAUUGCUAUGCAUGCCCAAUCUCACUUUUGGAAGAGUGUUUUUCAAACCAACCGAUGACUUCAAAAGUUAGGAUUUUCACGUUAGCAUUUUUUAGACUAAUCAUUUUUCUUUAUCGAAAAAAUGCCAUUAAUCCUUCAAUUUCAUGGGUGGUUAAUCGUGUGUGCAACGGGUUAAAUUAUGUCAAUAUGGUUUUAGCUGAAACAUUUUUGUCAUUAACCCGUUUCAAACAAAAUGAGGAAAAGACCAUGCGUGCCCUCCCUAAACUUUUGCAAAUAUGGUUUUUCUCCCACAUAAGAGGAUUUGGGCACCUUAUGAAACAAUUUAAGAUUGAUGAUUUUAGGCACCCCAUACAAAAGUUUGUGGUCUUAGAACGUUCUUCCCCAAAUAAACAGUAUGCCUCGUUGGAUUACUUUUUUGAAAAAUCCUAAUCCUAAUGCAUUCCUAUGGCAUACUAAAUGGUUCCGAGUUGAGGAGGCUCAUUUCUCACACAAGCAUGAUGAGCCAAUUCCGUUAUUGGGCCUUUCUGGUGCGACUUCUUACUACCCGUAUAGGGUGGCCCGUCAGUACAAAGCUCUUCAAGAAAUUCCUCCACCACUCAAGACAGAGUUGUUCCAAGUUCGUUUUAUUCGAGCAAACUAUGACUACUUCAAGGAGAUCCAGAUGAUCAUUAUUGCAUGGAAUGAAUGCCACUCGGACAAGAUUUUGGUGCCCAAGAGACUAAAAGGCGAGGAGGAGAUUCACCAUGCAUCGACAUUCUACAUCCAAUAAUACCGGAUUCUUGUCACCCUGCGUCCAGUGGUCCUGAUGUGACUGAGAAGCCAACCCAACGAGCACAAAUUGAGCAUCUUAAGCGGAAAGUGGAAAUAAUUGAAGCGGAAAAUAAGAAGCUUCGCAAGGUAUUGGAAUCUUGAAAGCAUAUAAAAUGAGACGUCUUGAAUUUUGAUUCUUAGUUCAAUAUUUAGGGACUUUGAUUUCUAGCUCAAUGUUUUCAAUUUUUAGAUUCAAUGUUUGGGGACUUUGGAUUUCAAUUCUUAGUUCAUUGUUAGGAAACUUGGUUCAAAUUUCAAAUAAAAUCAGGCGAUUAGACCAUUGUCAUGGGCCAUAAUCCUAUCUUGUUAUUGGUUCUUACAUUACUUUUAUUCAAUUAGGUGAUAACGAAUCUUCUAUGUUCACCCAUCAUUACACGAUCGAGAGCAAAAAUGGUCGACCAAGCCGAAAUGCGAGAUUGUAUGUCUGUCGUGGAAGACCAACUCAAAUAGUUGCUCACCUCUAUGCAACUUAUGACAACUCAAAUGCAAUCUCCCCAAGUGAAUUAGACCCUUGCACCUGCUCUCCCCGAGAUUGUAGUCCCAAAGCAAACGAACAAGACCCAAAUUGGUGAUGACGACAUGCCUGAACUGGAGGAUGACCCACUAUUCGUCACUACCGAAAAGGUUAAGCCUGACAAUGUCACUAAGGUAGAGCAAGAUGAACGCUUCGCCAAACUUGAAGAGAAACUAAAACAAUUGCAAGAGUCGCAGAGUUCACUCCCAUUUGACUUGUCAGUUUACGAGAAAGUCAAGAUGCUGAAAAAGUUUAAGAUGUCGGAGUUCGAGAAAUACGACGGUACUUCCUGCCCAAAGGCUCAUUUACAGAUGUACCACAUACGCAUGGCCCAAUAUGUCAAGAAUGAGCCUCUCAUGAUCCAAUCAUUUCAUACAAGUUUGACUGGGCCUGCUCUGAAUUGGUAUGUGAUGAAGAAUGUGAACCUCCUUGACACCUGGAACGAAGUGGCCGACGCAUUCCUCAAACAGUAUAAGUUUAACAUGGACAUCACACCUUCCCGAGAAGACCUUGAGCGAAUGGAAAAGAAGAGGAGCGAGUCAUUUAAAGAAUAUGCUGUGAGGUGGAGAAAUCUGGCGGCUCAAAUCACUCCUGAGCCUACUAACAAGGAGUUAAUGAAGCUGUUCGUGAAGACCCUCCCGUCUGAAUUCCAUAACCGGAUGGCCAGUACGUAUGUCGAGAACUUCAAUCAGCUGAUUUUUGUAGGAGAACAAAUCGAGAUGGGGAUAAGGGAAGGAUGGUUUACUGAGCCAUCAAGUAAAAGAUUCUCCGCCAAGAAAGAGAAAGAAGCUGCCGUGGAUGUGAAUGUGGCUUAUAGCCAAGAACGUUCCAAUCGUGCCCCAAUGAACGCGAGGCAACAACAAACUACUGGUCGUCAAUCAUUUGCCCAAGCAAAUAAUAUAAGGCAAUUCACUCCCCUCCCUGGAUCUCCAUCCCAGGUGUUGGCGAUUCUUCGAAAGAAAGGCUUGCUUGCUAGCGAGCCAAAACGCCCUAACUGCGAAAGCAUUCGGGGUUAUGACUCGACAAAGAAAUGUGACUAUCAUAAUGGUGAACUGGGACAUUCAACUGACGAAUGUUUCACCCUCAAGCAUCGGAUCCAGAGCCUCUUGGACACGAAAGUCUUUUCAUUUCAAACUGCUCAGCCAAAUGUCCAGAAAAAUCCUCUACCAGAGCAUGAGGGUAGGGUGAAUGCUAUCCUGGAAUCUGAAGCCAGUCGAAUCAAAAACUCGAGGGUGCACUUGAAGGAUGCCUACAAUGGACUGGUGAAAGCUAGAUAUUAUCUAGAUCAUGAGGAUAUUCCCCCAUCAUUGACGAAAGAAAGAGUUGCCAGAAUGGUGGAUGAUGACAUCAUUGUGUAUGCUGACCACAACUGCAUAGUUUCCACUAUUUCCCAUAUCAUUAUUGAUUGGGAGGAGGAACAGGCUGCACUCGAUGCUAAUAAAAAAGAAAUAGAUCCAUCACUCGUGGAUAUGCCCCGACUAGAAGAUGCAUCUGAUGAUGAGAUAGCGAUUGAGAUGCCUCAACCAUAUGAAUAUGUCAACAACAAAGCAGUGCCUUGGUCCUACGACUUAGAUGUUGACCUUGUUACGAGGUCUGGUCAAACUUAUGCUCAAGAUAGUGCUCAACCCGCAAAGCUUGUCACUGACAAAUAGGCUAAGGAAUUUCUAGCUGUGAUUAAAGCAAGCGAAUAUAAUGUGGUCGAUCAGUUGCAAAAGAUGCCUGCUUAGAUCUCUUUGCUUGAACUCCUGCUCACAUCCCCUGUGCAUCAAGAGUUACUAAUGAAGGUGCUAAGUGAAAUUCAUGUACCAAAAACGGUUGAGGCAGAUAAGCUGGAGGAUUUUGUGGGAUCAGUCCUUCUCAAGGACAUAAUUGCCUUUUCUGAUGAGGAAUUCCCUCUUGAAGGAAGGGGGCAUAACAAAGCACUCUAUAUAUCUGUCAAGCACAAAGCUUCUCAUGUGUCUCAAGUGCUCAUUGAUAAUGGGUCCGCCCUAAACAUAUGUCAGUUGGCCACUCUUCACCGCCUCAAGGUAGACCCAUCCAAGAUACAUGCUACAAAGACUUCUGUGCGAGCUUUUGAUAGCACAAAGAAGGAGGUGCUUGGGGAGAUUCAUCUUGAUGGGCAAAUAGGGCUGAUUGUUUUCAACAUCCUAUUUCAGGUGAUGGAUAUCCCCACCGCAUUUAAUUUCCUGCUAGGUCAUCCUUGGAUACACACUGCUGGAGCAGUCCCUUCAAGUCUACAUCAAGCUGUGAAAUUUGUGAUCAAAAGGAAGUUAGUCACUGUGUAUGGUGAGGAAGACCACCAGAUUUACCAUGAGACAGCUAUCCCCUCUGUGGAGCCAGAUGUUGAAUUCGAAUCGAGUUAUCACUCAUUUGAAUUGGUGUCUACAAUACACGCAUCUCGAGAUUCGUCGCCGCCCACUCCUGAAGUUUCAAAUUCUGCCCUUAUGGUGAGAAAAGUGAUGGUUGGAAAUGACUUUGUUCCUAGCCAUAGUCUUGGAAGAAGGGGUCAAGGUAUUCGAAGCCCCAUUGAAGCUCCUCAAAGGUCCCGUUUUGCUGGAUUAAGGUACCAUGGAAGCGGUGGUGGAAAUUCUGGAAGGCAAAGACAGGGAAGACAAAACUUGCCACCUGAGCAAGGGUGAGGGAGGCAAAGCUUACUACCUCCAAAUCUUCAUGAUAUGUUCCCUGGUCCUCCUAUGAUGAUGCAAUAUGAAGCUGAAGUGAUGGAUACUCUAGGGCAGCUAAGUGGUAAAUUCGACUAUAUGGUGAAGUAUUCGGCUCCCCCUAGCUUUUACUUUGACCCCCGCGACAUAGUUCCAAGUGGAUGGGAUGGCAUGGACGAUCCGAUGCUUCCAAAGACCGAGAACUCUGAUGAUGGCUUGGAAGGAAUCACAAGUCUAUUCGAUGACCUCUUCGUAGGAGCUAUUGAUGAAGAACCUCUGGAAGAAAUGGGGCUCGGCCCACAAGAGUAACAUAUUUAUCGCUUUCGCACAUUCCCCUGCGUGGGAAUUUUUAUUGCUUUCUAGGAAUUUUUAUUGCUUUUUAGGAGUUAUCAUCACUAUCUAGCGAUUGUUUUUUUUUUUUUUUUUAAUUUCUUCUUAGGACUUGAAUUCGCAUUUUCCACUCAGUAAAUGUAAUUGAUUGAUGAAUUUCAAUGAAAUUACAAAUUUUAUUUUGAGGGCAUGAUGAGGUACACCAAACUAGCCCAGUGAUGAUAUCCAGCCGAUAAAACAAAAGAAAAAUCUAAGGAGAAUUUUGAGGCUUAGGCUUCAUCAUGUUUUCUCGUGUCAAAAUGUUUCAAAAAAUGCUUUUGCAAAAGAAUUUAAAAAAAAUUCAAAAAAAUAAUAAAAUAUGAUUUACCUUGCUUGUCUUUUUGAUCCUUCUAUUUCCUAUUUCAGGAACAAUCAUAUAGCAUGCAAAGGUGUGGAAAUGGUCCAAUCCAAUGCAACAAAUGCUGAUAAUGAUGAUCCUGAAGACUCGAUCGAGGAUUCCAUUGAGGUGCAACGUAGCUGGGAGCAACAUGAAAAUGUCAAGGCUCUUACGUCUGACCAAACCGUCACUAUUAAUUUAGGUGACACUGAAGAAGCCAAGGAGGUGAAAAUUGGGGCAAAUCUCCCCAAAGAUGAGGCUGAGCACCUAAUUCAAUUAUUGAAGGAAUAUCAGGACAUCUUUGCAUGGACCUAAGCUGAUAUGCCUGGGUUAAACCCGUCAAUCGUGGAACAUUGUUUGCCUAUUAAUCCGGACAUGCCACCUAAGAAGCAAAGGUUGCGGAGAACUAAACCCGAGCUCUCAAAGAAGAUAGAGGAAGAAGUGAUGAAGCUUCUGAAAGUCGAAUUCAUUGAAGUCUCACAAUACCCUGAAUGGGUGGCUAACAUUGUGCCGAUAUUGAAGAAGGAUGGUCGAGUUCGAGUUUGUGUUGAUUAUCGAGAUUUGAACAAGGUUAGCCCGAAUGAUGAUUUCCCAUUGCCUCAUACAGAUGUCCUUAUAGAUAGUACCACUGGAUUUGAACUAUUCUCCUUUAUGGAUGGUUUUUCCGGGUACAAUCAAAUAAGAAUGAAGGAGGAAGACAAAGAGAAAACUGCAUUUAUCACUCCGUGGGGAACCUUUCAUUAUAAGGUCAUGCCCUUUAGACUCAAGAAUGCAGAGGCAACUUACCAGCGAGCCAUGGUAGCACUGUUUCACGACAUGAUGCAUCAAGAGAUCGAGGUCUAUGCUGAUGAUAUGAUCGCCAAGACUCGACUCGGGAAAAGUCACAUUGAAACCUUGAAGAAGUUGUUUGAUCGACUCCGUGAAUUCAAGCUUCAACUAAAUCCCACUAAAUGCGUGUUCGGAUCAACUUCCAGUAAAUUACUCGGAUUUAUUGUGAGCAGUAUAUGGAUUGAGAUUGACCCGGCUAAAGCAAAGGCCAUAUGUGAGCUACAACCUUCGUCAACAGUGAAAGAAGUCCAAAGCCUUUUGGGGAGAUUGAAUUACAUUGCUCGAUGUAUUUCCCAACUUUCUGAAAUUGCCAUUCUUCAAGCUCUUGAAAAAGAACGCACGAGUCAAUUGCGAUGAUGAGUGUCGAGAAGCGCUCAAUAAGUUAAAACAGUACUUGAUGAAUCCACCAGUUCUUGUCCCGCCAUCGCCGAGGCAUCCUUUGAUUUUCUACCUCACCAUUCAUAGUGAGUCAUUGGGUGCGAUGUUGGCUCAGGAAAGUCCCGUCGAUAAAAAAGAACGAGCCAUUUAUUACCUGAGUAAAAAAUUUACUGUGUCAGAGCUAAAAUAUUCUGAUGUGGAAAAGACUUGUGCUGCACUAGUGUGGGUGUUGCAUAGAAUGAGACAAUACACACUGCAUUACCAGACAUUCCUCGUAACUGAGAAUGAUCCUAUCAAGUACCUACUUGAUUGGCCAGCUUUGGUGGGUAAAUUGGCUAAGUGGCAAAUUUUGAUUUCAAAAUUUGAUGUGCAAUAUAUGCCACAGAAGUUGGUUAAGGGUCGAGUGAUCGCCGAUUUAUUGGCUAAGAGUCCGGAAGUCUCAAAUAAUGAUGAUUGUUCCCUGGAUGACCGUAUCUUGAGUGUAAAUGAAGAUUCACGGAUGAUGUUCUUUGAUGGAGCUGUGAACUUGUCUAGUUCUGGUACCGGGGCAGUCCUGAUAUCCCCAGACGAACAACACCAUCCGGUAGCUGCAAAAUUAAUAUUCCCUUGCACUAAUAAUAUAGCCGAGUAUGAAGCUUGCAUCCUCGGGCUUCAAGCUGCAAUCAAGAUGGGUGUAGCCGAAUUAAAAGUGUUCGGGGAUUCCACGCUGAUCAUACUACAUACCAUAAGUGAAUGAAAGACUAAGGAUGUUAAAUUGCUCUCGUAUCAUGAGUACCUAGAAGAUUUGGUCAAGGAAUUCGAUGAAGUUUCAUUCAAAUACUUAUCGAGGUUUCACAAUCAAUUUGCAGAUGCACUCGCAACUUUAUCAUCUAUGUUACAAGUCACUGACGGAUUAGAAGUCGAGCCACUGAAGAUAGAAGUUCUGCCAAGGCCCGCUUAUUGUAUGGUAGUGAUUGAAGAACCUGACGGAAAACCAUGGUAUUACGAUAUCAUGAACUACAUCCAAAAACAGGGAUUCCCCGAGGGAAGUACUCUAGCUGAUAGGAAGUACAUCAUGAAGAUGGCCUCAAAGUUCUUCAUCAGUGGUGAGAAUUUGUACAAGAGAUCUUAUGAUUCAGUCUUGUUGCGGUGUGUAGGUGUAGCUGAAGCCACUCAAAUCAUGCAAGAAGUUCACGAAGGAGUGUGGCCCUCAUAUGAAUGGGCACAUGUUGGUUAAGAAGAUUAUGAGAUUAGGUUACUAUUGGCUCACGCUAGAAGGUGACUAUAUUCAGCACGUUCAAAGUUGUCAUUGUUGGCAGAUCCAUGGUGAUAAGAUAAAUGUCCCUCCAGCUGAGCUGCACCAGAUUUCCGAGCCAUGGCCCUUCUCAAUGUGAGGCAUUGAUGUGAUCGGCCCAAUAAAUCCGAAGGCUUCAAAUGGGCAUUGAUUCAUUUUGGUAGCAAUAGACUAUUUCUCCAAAUGGAUUGAAGCUACGUCAUUUGCAAGUGUCACUGCCCACAAUGUUGCGAAUUUCAUCAAACGUGAUAUAAUUGCUCACUAUGGUGUCCCUGAAACAAUUAUCACUGACAACGGGACAAAUUUGAACAACAAGCUUGUUGAGCGAGUUCAAAAUCAAGCAUUUGAAUUCGUCCCUUUAUCACCCUCAAAUGAACGGGGCUAUUGAAGCGGCCAAUAAGAAUAUUAAGAAGAUCUUGGCUAAGAUAGCCGAGAAUUAUCGAGAUUGGCAUGACAGAUUACCCUUCGCACUGAUGGCGUACCAGACAUCAUUUCAUACUUCUACCGGGGCAACUCCUUUUGCUUUGGUAUAUGGCAUGGAGGCAGUUUUGCCUGUGGAAGUGGAUAUUCCUUCCCUGAGAGUAUUAUCCCAAGUAAAAUUAUCUGAGGCAGAAUGGUCGCAACAAAGACUUGAACAGUUAAACUUGAUCGAUGAGAAAAGACUGAAGGCUCUUUGUCAUGGCUAAACUUAUCAGCAGAGAGUGGCCAAAUCCUUCAAUCGGAAGGUACAACCGAGACAUUUCAAGGUAAAUGAUCUUGUUCUAAGGAAGCUGUUGCCAAUUUUUCCAGAUCCUAGGGGGAAGUUUGCUCCAAACUACAGUGGCCCAUAUGUGGUAAAGAAGGUACUUCAUGGCGGUGCUUUGAUCUUGGCAGAAAUGGAUGAUCGUGAGUUUUCCACUCCAGUUAAUUCAUAUGCUGUCAAGAAAUAUUACCCAUGAUAGAAUUUUCCAUGUCAUGUUUUGAAUUGCAAACAUUUUAUGAUGAAUAAAUUGCCUCAUUGAGUUGCAAAUUCAAUUGUCCAAACUUGUUACAAAUCUUGCAUGUUUUUCUUGAUGAAUUGUGUGAGAUAAAUUGAAUGUGUUAAAUGGGAUACUUUGGAAUGACGAAAGGCAAGCCUGAUUCCAUACACCGUUUCAUACACUAACCCCCAGUGAGUUGUGUGGAAAAUUUCCGUGCCUACGAGGAAAAUGGUGAUCUCGCGAAGGGUACAUCAACCGAGGUGAUGAGAAGCAGUUUCUUCUGCUACUUAAAACACUACAGGUAUAUCCAUUGUUCGGCCCUUUGAGCCCACACACAUGAAAAGCUUUUUAAAUUAUCCCUGUCAAGGAUCGUCCCAUACUGGGACAAGAUUUGAAAUGAAUGAUAGGAAUUUUCUUACUCAUACUUGCAUCAAUCUUCGAGUAUUGUUUUCGCAAUGUAACUUGUACGAUAAUUUAAAGUGCCUUAGGACGACCAAGAGCUGUUCUUUCUCUAUCCUAUACACUUUAUCCAUUACAUAGCCCCUUGAGCCUAUGAAUUCGUUUCAUAUUAAACCCAGUUGGUGAUCAUCCCCCACACUGGAGCAAGGCAAGAAAAAUCAAACUACUCAAGCAGCAUGGCUUACAAUGUUGAUAAAAGAUGAAGGCCGUGCGAGUCCAAGGAAAAAAAAAAAAGAGGCAUGAAAAAACAGUGUGCUUGGUAAAAGCAAGACCAAUGCCCAAAGAGAAAAAUCAAACACUUGAUGUAAUGAGUGAUAUCCCCAACAAGGCGAUACUGAAAAAAAAAAAAAAAAAAAAAAAACUCAAAUGCUGAGAUGUUACAAUCAAUGGAGUUAUGACAUGAAGAAAAUCUUCAACAUUAGAGAAAAAUUGGUGGAAAUGUCAAGAUGAUCACCAACUUUGACCCCCUAAACACUUUUUGAGCCUAAUCAUCUUUUUGUUUCUCAACCCAUAAACUUAGCCUACGUUACAUCCCUUGCAAGAUCUCUUCAGAUUAUGGCACUUGAAUUAAUGUAAAAGUUCAUAUGUUCGAAAGCAUCGCUUGAAGAAGUGCGAUUAAGAUAAUUUUUGCUUUAUUUCAUAUGUUUCUUGACUUGUAAACCACAAGACAAUUGCGAAAUGUCAUUUUUUAGUAGCCUCGACUCGAAGAGUCUCCCUUAUUGAGCCAUUGACCGAGCCCACGUUACAGUCCCUCUUAAAGACCUUUCAGAUUGGUAAGGUUGUACCACUUGCGAGAUUGCUCAGACCCUUGUUUGACAUUAUGAUAGUGAGAUAGAGUGACUGUUAAAAAUCUUACAUCAAAGGUCAGGAUAAAAUAGCCAUUUUAAUCAGGGAGUGAAAAGUCCUUUCUGACCGAAAGAUCCCCCAUUUGACACGUCCAUGAAACUCAUGUGUUCAUAUUGGAAUAUUCUUUUGAAAUAUUUCCCAAUGGAAUUAGGUGAUGCAAGAUUGAUAAAUCAUCGUGCAUGAGCCUCCCUUAAGUUAAUGCAUGUUUGUGAUUACAAAUGCAUAUUGCUUCUCCUAUGACCAUGUUUCACAGGAGACAUUUCCUCCGAGAACAGAGAUGUUACCAGGUAGAUAUAUCUUUAUCCAUACCUUAAAUACUUGUCAUUAUGCAGGUAUUCCCUUUUGAAUACACCGACACUCGUUCGAGCUGUCCCCUAAAGAUUUUUCUUUAGAUUCAGUCUGAUUAAGGUGACCGAAGAAAGAUUCGGGUCCUGGUCAGAUGAUCUAUGCUGCAACGUUAGGUGACCGAAGAAAGGUUUGGGUCCUAGCCAAGCAAAACUCAGUUUAGGCGACCGUAGAAAGGUAUGGGUCAUAGACAACAUUUAUUGCUCUAACAGGCGACCAUAGAAAGGUACAGGUCCUGGAAAAGCAAUUACCUCAGUUCAGGUGACCGUAAAAAGGUACGCGUCCUGGAAAAUGAUUCCUCGUUCAGGCGAUCGUAGAUAGGUACGAGUCCUGGAAAGUGAAUCCCGGUUAAGGCGACCGUAGAAAGGUACAAGUCCUAGACACAACCAAACUCUUCCAUUUUGGGCGACCGUAGAAAGGUACGGGUCCUAGAAAAGCAGUUUCCUUGCAAAAACUUUACUGCCGUACUAGGCGACCAUACAAAUGUACGGAUCCUAAGAAAGUAGUCUCCUUAUAAAGUCUCGUUAUUAUUUUAGGCGACCAUAAAAAGAUAUGGGUCCUGAACGUGUAACACCAUCUUGAAUCACUCUACCCCCCUUGAAGAUAAGUUAUUCUAGGUAGGUUCCUUCGUUGUUUGCAUUAGCAUUUCCGUGCGUCAUAUAAAUUGCAUUUCAAAAUGGGAUUCAUUUUCCUAAAAAAAUCAUUCAGUGCAUGUGCAUAGUCAAAAUUUAGGUCUCAAUUUGUCUUUGAAGGCAACCUCUUCGAGCUCACCUUCAAAGAGGGGUAGCUGUUGACACCUAAAUUUUGGUGGCCCGUUUAGUUAUUUAUCGCAUUAAAAAUUAGGGUUUAAUUUUAUCCCUAAAAUAAAAAAAAAUUGCAUAGUAUAUAGAUUUAGGUUCAUUUAUUUUUAAUUUACAUUUUAUUUAUUGGACCGGCGGCGGAUGGGUUCAUUAGUUGGACUAAGCCCACGAAGCGAGUAAGUUGGCCCAAGCCCAUGUUUUUUUUUUUUUUUAUUGAUCGAAAAUUAUCUUGUGGGAAAAUAGGAAUUUCGAAAUUUUUCCGAGAUAUGAAUCUUUUGGAUAGGGCAUAUGCGUGAAAAAAUAUUGCAAUUUAUCUUUACAAGAUUUGGAUUUAGAGAAAAAUAUUAUCGUAAUCUUGAAGAUGUGAUGAGUUGGUGAAAAAAUAUUGCAGAUGUAGAUUUGAAGGGGAAAUCGAAAACCUAUCUCCUACUCCUUAGAAAAGCAACAGUGUAUGAGGAGAAAUGGCCCGGGGGGGGGGGGGUCUUUUUUCGAGGGGGAAGUAAAAAAAUUGAAAAAAUUUUUCCUCCCAUUGAAAAAAGUGAAAAAGUCUUCUGCAGAAAGUACAUAGUGGGCAGAGGGAGAGUGACGUGAGAGAGAGAGAGAGAGAGAGACAGAGAGAGAGAGAGAGAGACAGAGACAGAGAGAGAGAGAGAGAGAGAGAGAGAGAGAGAGAGAGAGAGAGAGAGAGAGAUAGAAGGAAAAAAGAAAACCGGAUCGUUUUCUUCGCAGGGGGGCUUUGACCUCGCAUGCCCCGUGUCUGCACCAGCCGACGCUAGAAUUGUCUCUGCCGGCCAUCUCCGACGCCGCCACCUGCUCCGGCUCGCGACCCCAGCGCCGAUGCCCAGCAUCACCAUCGGAGUCCGAUGCCGCCGUUGCUGUCUCCCUCCUACCACCGUUCGCUCGCAGCAGCUGCCGAACCCCCUCAGCCUCCGCCUACGCCCCUGCGCAGAGCCCGAUCUGCUGCACCAGAACGCUGGUCUCACCCCCGACUCGUCUGCAACCUGCGGCUCAGCAGAUCCUGAGCCGGCCCGCCUCCGUCGUGCUUCCAACUGUCACCCCUGACGCCCACGCCAGUAACCUGCGCUGCUCCGUGACUGCCCAGUGCCCGAUGCCCUUGUCCACGACCGCCCAGUGUCCAACUCCCCCUCCUCUUUGCAACGAUUCUGUAGGCGCUCUGUGCUCGUUGCUGUGGCACCAUCGCCCGCGACGCCCCUCACCGUCGCUGCUUGCCAGCCUUCAUUGGAGCUCCAACGCCGGUCAUCCUCCACCCGGCGCCGACCAAUCUACUGCCCCCCUUUCCUUAGGUUGUUUAUUUUUCUUUUGGUCUUUCGUUUAUUUUAUGUUAUUUAUUUAUUUAUUUAUUUUUGAAGUUUUGCUAUUAUUAUACUAAUUUGAAUGUUGGGAAUUGAUUCUCGUUUUAUUGUAGGCAUUAUCCGCAGGGUUUUCCCUAAAAUUAUUAUAAUUACUAAUUUGACCCGUAAGAUGUCGGGUCAUUUUUUUAGUUAUAUUAAUUUUUAGGGUUUGUUGAUAGUAUUUUAAUUAUUGAAUUAAUAUAAUUAUUAAUCUGAUCCGUAAGAUUUCGGAUCAGAUUUUUAAUUAUUUUGAACUUUAUGUUGUAAUGUUUAGGGUUAAAAUAACCAUUAAUUUAACCCGUGAGACAAUGGAUUAUUUUUUCGGUUAUUUUAAUUCUCAUUUGAUGAAUAUCUUAAUUGUGUAGAUGUAGUUACUUAUCUUGGAAAAACACUAAAAAAAUCAAAAAUCAAAAUAAUCAAAUCGUGCAUUGGCAUGUAGGUUUAGUAGAUUAGACAUGUAAGUUUAGUAAAUUAGACAUGUAGGUUUAGCAAAUUAGAUUGUUUUUAGGAUUACAUUCUUAGGGUUGCAUUAGGGUUAGACCUAAAUAAUUACUUUUUUUAAAUAGGGUCUUAGAUAAUGUUGGCACAUUUUAAUUAUCCCAUUUUUCUUUAAAAAAUAGUUUUCUAAGAUAGGAUAUGGUUUGAGUCAAAUUAAUCCUUGAAAUAAAUUAGAAAAUUAUUCGUUUUUUUAGAUAGUUUAAUUAGGGUUUUUAUUAAUCCCAAAUUUCAAUAAAAAAUACAAAAACACUAGGAGCAUGUUAACUAGUUUGCAUAAUAGGAUAAUUUAAUUAGAGUUUGUUAGUAAAAUUAGGUUUUGCAUGUCACUUAGUGAUUGUUGUUAGGUUUAUUUAAUUAGAAAGUUGCUUGCCAUUAAAAAGAAAUGGUACCGAAAGGGCGGUACCGAAAGGACAUUAGAGAAAUCUAGUGUAACCAAGUUCCUGUACCCUUAGUCUCUGGUUCGUAGGAGUAAAUUAAUUCUCUCAUUAUUUUACUUAUGUGUCUAAUCGACCUACCAAAAAUGGAUGAGUGAUGACUCCUGAUUAAAAAAAAUCAAUUGCAUGUUGAGAAAUUGAACCUAAGUUGCGAAUUGAUAUGGGCUUGGGAGAGCCCGAGCUAAGUUUAGGUUUAGUAAUCCAUUAGCCUAAUUUUAGGUGGUGCACUCGAAAUUUAGGUCGCGACAACAUUAUUAUGUAAGGACCUCGGCCUUCCACUAUGUAAUAUUGUCCUCUUUGGGCCUUCAGCCCUUAUGGCUUUAAAACGCGUUUGAGCCCCGCACUAGCGCGGAUGUAUCCCAUCCCAGUCGGGCCACCCUCAAGGCUUUGUUCUCAGUACAGUGAAAGCCUGUGUGAAACGCGUUACACAGGUUAGAGAACCCAAGCCUUAUAAAUUAGCCUAGGACUCCCCCCUAAGCGAUGUGGGACAUGAGACACGACCCCUCCCUGCGCACGUUUGGGGACCGAGGCGCGGACAUACUGCCAUCCCUCCUCCCCGCACACCUCCGCUUGGGCCGUCACAUACCCUUAGUCUCGCCCGUGUACUGCCAAGGCGAUCUUAGUCUGUCCCUUCGUACUACCCCGGGUCUGGAUUGUCACAUAUUAUGUAUUAUAUACACUAUAUUUAUUCAAAUAUGUAUCCAAGUAGCGAUUUUAUGUUAGUUAAUACUGUAUAAAGUGUGAGAUUAAGAAAAAUAAAAAAAAAUAUUUGAAAAUCCUCAAAUUUUGACAUUACCACUUUACUAUUCAAUUAAAAUCUGUCUUCUACAUAAAAUUUAGUUUGGGACAUAUCCAAAUAGGAAUUCCAGGCUAGGCAACCAGCAAUAAAAAUGUGAGAGUGAAAAAAAAAAGAGCGUAAAGUUCAUCGAAAAAAAAAACACCAAGAACACAAUCAAUCAAGUAAUAAAACUUUGAAGAGAAAACCGCGACAUGAAAUUAAAAAAAUCAGACAAUUAAUUAAUUUCCAAAAUAUUUUAACUAAGUUUCUUGGAGUAAUUGAAAGUUCCCCGGUUGGCCGUUUACCCUCUUGAUGAUGGCCUGUUUAUAUCCAGCAAUAGCACUGGUGGUGGUGGUUGUUUGAGAAUUGACAAAAGCACCGCCAGUCUCCGUGUAUUCAAAAGAGAGGAGUUUGGCAUUAACAUGGAAAAGAAGACGACAUACGAUCACCAGAUGAAAGGAAUACAUCCCAUCAAUAUAACGUAAAUCUUAGCAAUGAUAAUGUUGUGGUCUCAUGAUAGAUGAUGGGCCAAAGAUCCGGUCCAAUCCAUUGCCAUUUUACUUUCUUUUUCAAGUAAGAAAACAUCUCGCCUUAGCCCAAGAAGAAGCCAUCAAAUAUGACUAACGAUUUACAACGACCCUUCUUCUCCCGAUGACCUUCAGAAAAAGAAUAAAACUUUUAUUAUUGAUUAAAAAAUUCGACCAAAAAAAAUUAUAACAAAAGCGCAAGAAUUUUAAUAAUCUUAAUCCGUUCAAUGAUAGUUUCAAAAUAGUUGCUCUAUCAAGAUGAACACAAAAAUCAAAUCAGCAUCGCAAAACAAAUGACUUUUGAUCACCAUGCUCUCAUUUUCUUACUUUUUUUUCUCCUUUUUUCUAAGAAGGAAACCCUUUUCCACUAGAAUCUCCUUUCCAAAAGCAAAAUCAUCCAGUCAAUAUGUACGACGGCAACCAAGAUUCUUUUUCUGGAGCAAUUAAAUGGGUUUUGACAUCUUUUCAAGAUUGAAAAGGUAGGCGAAGCAAAACUCACUUUUGCUACAGAAAAAAGUCUUUUCUGUUUAAUUUCUUUAAAGUGCAUUACCAAAGCCAAAAUCAUUUUUUAUUGUUCUCGAUGAUGCAUCGCCUAAUUAGUCCAAUGCUUUUCUUGCUGGAGCCAUCAAUAAAAGCCCUAGACAAUUAUUUUUGGCCCCCCAAACAAAAAAGUAUAAUUGUACGUGAAUCAUGUGGAAAGUUCUUUGCUUUCAUAACGAAGGACAAUGCGUUCCAUGCAUUUGGAUUGAGAAGAAUUAAAAGUGAUUUUUUCUUUAAAAUAGUCCAAUCAAUUCGCUAGUGCUACGAAAAUUAUUAUGAACUCUUGGCAUUGUUUUAUUUUUUAUUAAUAUAUUUCAUAAAAUUUAAUAUAAUAAACUAAACUACGAGGGAGAUAGAAAGACUAGAUAGCCAAAUUUAUGGGAAGAAAAGGGUCUAGUUUAAUAUUUUUUGCCAAAGAAUGUUCAGUCACAAAAGGUUGUGGAUUGUCAUCACAAGUAUUCUUCUCCACAAGAAAGGACAUUACCAAUGGAAUAUCGUGUGUAUCUAUCUAAUCAGAGUUAUUAUCGACCUUUUUUUUUCCUUUCCAUUAAGAAAAGAGAAGCAUAUUACAAAUUGAUUGUAACUUCAUAUGUCGACAUAUGUAAUGCCACUUCUAUUUCAUCCGUUAACACAAUUUCUUGUCAUGGUUUCUUGUCUUCUACUUUUUGAAUGAUUGUGUUCUCGUCAUGGUACUUUGUAUGUUAAGAUGAAUUGGGUGUGAAUAAAAAAAAAAAUGCUGAUUUUGUAAUUUACUGUCGCAGUUUUUUUUAUUUUUUUUCUUUUUGUGUUGAUUGAUUGUGUUCUUGGUGUUUUUCCAUGAACUAUAUGUUUUGUUUCACUCUCAUAUUUUACUACUAUAGAAAACCGAUAGGAUUUGAACAGUAAAGUGGGGGAAAAUUGGGGAAACAAAGUUUAUGUUGGUUUUCUUUUUUGGCUUAGGAAAGUUAGGCCAUGUUUGUUAAAAAGUGUUUCUGUUCUCCGGAACAAAAAUUUAUGUUCUUUCGUUCCGAGGAACGAAAAAAGAACAAAAACGUAUUUGGUAAAACUUUUACUCUCAGGAAUAAAAAAUCUAUUUUUUUUUUUGUUUCCAGAAAUAGAUUUGAAACAAAAAUAAGAAGUAAAAAAAAGUAGCUUAUUGUUUCUGGGAACAAUUUUUAGAAACAAUUUUUCUCUUUCUUUUUUCUUUUGGCCAGUCGCUGGCCUUAGCCAUGGUUGGCGUUGGCGAUCGGCCAAAUGAGGGCCGGAGACGCCGCGCCAUGGCAAGGCUUGUCAGCCCGAGCCUCGCCGUGGCUGGGUGAGGUCGGCCUCGCCUAGAUAUAGCAAGACCAAGCCUCGCCGGCCCUCACCUUAGCCUGGCGAGACUCCGGCAAGCUCGCUGGACCUCACCCAACCGGUCACUGGCCGCCGACGACUGGCUACAAAGAGGAAGAAUGAGAGAAAAGAAAAAAGAAAGAAGAAAAAAAAGGAAAAUAUAAUAAAAUAUUAAAAAACUAAAAGAAACAAUAAAAUUAUACAAUUUUACCAAACAUAUUUCUUUCCCAGAAAUAGAAAUUUUGUGUAGUUACCAAGAGCAUUCUUAUACUUAGAAAUUGUUCCCUAAAAAAAAAAAAAAACUAUUUCUGUUCAAAAAUUAUUCUCCAGAACAGAAACGUUACCAAACGCGUCAUUAACCCUAUUCUUAUGAAGUCACCUCAUGCUAACUUUACAAUGUGGCGGAGUAACGUAAGUUCAAAUAAUACACUUCAUUAGGUGGUCUACAGUCUGUGUUCUUCACUCGAUCCAAGUACAAGUCAAGUCUCCUUCACCAUUUAAUUUAAAAGAAGUCUUGAACAAUAGGUUGUUUUCUUUGUGGGAUCGCUCAUUUUGUACGUAAAAUAAUAAUAUAAUAUAAACUGACUUAGGUUGAUUAGACCUGCGCGUCAGCCCGAUUCGAACCUGGCCAGAGAAGAGGGCCGUCUUUUGUCCUCUCUCAUUUUCUUUUCAUUCCCUUUUUUAUUUUUAUUUUUUUCUCCCUUCCUCUGUGACAUCCCAAAUUUCUAAUUUCGUUUUCAAUUAAAUGAGACCGACUUUUCAUCGAUGCACUUAUAGUUCAAUUCUCCGAGUUGAUCACUCACAAUAUAACUAGUUUGUUAGGUGAAGCCGUUAAGGAAUUUAAAUGCAAUAGGUUUGAGAAUAUGACCAUGAAUCGGCUGCUUAACCGUAUUAAUCUGUAAGGAUGAUUAUGACACUGUCAGAAUCGAACAGAGAUCAGUAAUAGGUCGAUUCAACUAAGAUAUGUGAUUAGAGUGUGGGUGAUUCCACCUAAUUUCAAUAUCCUCGUCGAUCGGCACUAAACCGAUUCUUCUGUCAUUUUGGGUACCCUAUGUCCAUAAUUGAAACAUCGAGAUUUUUACGACAACCGAGAGUCACCAAUGUGUUGAAGAUUAUGUAGUGGCUUGAAAAUAAUCAACCAUGGGUUAAUUGCACUGAAAAUUUCUAAAAGCUACUUGGUAGAUUAGGACGCGCUCAAAUUGCGCCAAAUUGAAAUUAACCGUGAUUUUAAAUCCGAAUUCAGAAAUUGAAAGUUCUGUCAUGUCACAAUUCAUUUUAGGAACAUUGACUCAUCUUUAGAAUAUUUUUCUGCAAACCAGGAUUUUUGGCGAAAAAGCAAAGUAAGGCCUUUUUGUUCGGGAUUGUUUUUUUUUUUUUUGAGCAAAUUGUUCGGGAUUGUUAGAGGGUCGUUUUUUGAUCGAAUCUUUGGGAUGCAAGUUGGAUCAUUUGAUGGGAAAAAGACAUAAGAAGGUUGAGGACACAUGGACGAAUUUAAUUGAGCUUCAAUUUGAUGGAAUUGAGUGAGAAUUGGUUGGAUUUGAUGUACAAAUAUCCAAAAUUCGUAACUCCCUUGGCACAUGACAUUUUGAGCACUUUGUCAAGCUUGUUGAGGAAGCUAAUGAAGGGCAAAUGGCUGAGGGGUGGGCCGGCCAUGGUGGGGGCAAGAGAGAGGGGAGAAGGACAAGCGUUAAGCCCUUAAGAGCUCUUGGGGUCCCUAUUUGAUUCAGCCACUUCAUCUUCUCCAAUAGACUUCACUUUCUCCAUUGUUAUCCUCCUUUGAGCUCCCAAGAACUAGCAAAACUGAGCCAGCCUUCCCUCCUUGCCGUCGUACACCCGUCCGGCCACCAAACCGUCGCUCCGUCUGCCAUUGCAAGCUGCUGGUCACCGCUCGCUGUCCAGCUUGUUCGCGCACCGUCUCGCCCAGCUCACGCCACCAGCUGCUAUCCCAAAGGUCCCUAGUCGUCGAUCAGCCAUCGUCAGACCACUGGAGCCACUGCAUGCACCCGCUUAACCUCCGCCUGCUCGCUACCGCUCCUCCUUCGUCGUUCAGCCUCAACCGUCGCCGGUUCCAGCCCUUGCUGGUCCAAGAUUAGAAGAGAAAUCCAGCAAGACCUUAGAGGCUUUGAGGCCCAUUUUUGGUGUCUUCCCGGCCUCCAUUGGUGUCAUCGCUUCGGGGUUUAUUGGCCGCACUGGCAUCAUGGUCGCCAUGAACUCACUGGCGCGCAAAACCAGUGAGUUUAUCCUAUAAACCUCGCUUAGUAAGUUAAUUAUGCUUAAGGGAUGUUUAGAUUAGUCUAAGUAAGUUUAGGUGGUUAGAUUAGAUUAUUUAAAUGUUAAUUAGAUUAGUUGUAUGAUUAGUUUAGUGGUUGAUUAAUUAGGGCUAAUUGUAUGUUUAAAUUAGUAUAAUCUUGUUUAAGCCCCUAAUUAAUUAUUUUUAAUUAAUUAAUUUAAAAGAUAGAUAGUAUGAUUGAUUUGAAUCGUUGGUACUGAUUUGAUUGGUUGAUUUAUGAAAUGUACUGACGUGCAAGAAGGAACUGAGGCAAGAUAAGUCCUUAAUCCUCUUUGUGUGGCUAGAGCACCAUGGAGCUUAUUUUCUUCCUAAUCGAGUCUUAGAAGGUAGGACUCGUUGAGAUGUUGUCUCAACCCGUUGUGGGAUAAUAUUUUCAAGUCCUUAAAUGGCGGAUCCUCUGGAGCUUUUUGGUAGACCAGUGAGGGUCACUGAGAGGAUUUUUGACUUUGCCGAUCUCGGAAGUCAUUGGGUCUAUGAACUUGCGGUGACUACUGUCUGGGUCAAUGAGAACCUUCCUCAUAGGGUCCCUCAUCGAUUUAGAGCGUGGUAUCGCUAUAGACCCGAUGGAUUCCUGGAUGAUCCUCUCAAGUGUUUUGAUCUUCCCCCCAGUAUCAUAGAUGCCGCUCUAGGUGAGAGUGUUGUUGAUCCUCCAUAUUGGUUGGUGGAAGACUCGACGCCCCUUGUGCCCGUGAAGACUGAUGAGCUGGCGACUGGAUUUGACUAGCUGAUCUUAGGACAGGUUAGUUUUUGAGGACUGAUCUUUUAUAGAUCUUUUGUUAAUAGCCUAGUCCUAUAAAUGAACUGAUUUGAUGUGUAUAAAGGUGUGUGGUUUGGAUUUAAAAAUGUGAUCCUACUUUUCUAUCCCAAUUGAGUUUUGUCUUGAGAUUAUUUACCUGCUUCUGCAUAUGCAUUAAAAUGAAUGGGUCGGCGACGUGUCCUGAGAAGUCGCUUUUCUAUCGACCACAGUGGGAUGUGCGCGUGCUCGAGGUUCAGGGCAUGACAUCCCCGUUUAAGUAAUAUUAGAGCAGGUUUAUGAAUGAAGUAAUAAGGUACGAUGGUUUAUAAGAUAGUUAGUAGGAAUGACUUUGAUUUCAUGCUGGUGCAUGUGAUUGUUUGUUGAUUGGUAAAUUGUUUGGUAGAUCACUCAAUUCUAAAUCAUUGAGGAUUUGGAAAGUAGGUGUUUGUAGAGAACCUGCGUUAUGAGUGAUCAAGAGCGGACUCCUAAGAAGAGGACCAUGGGUCUAGUUACUCAGGGUAAGACGCCAAUAAGGGUCGGUACUUGAGGUGGACGUGGUCGAGUGCAAGCUAAGGUUAGCGUUAGUGGAGUAGCACCACCUCCUGUUGGUGCUGGAGUAGCAGCCCCUGGUGAUCCCAAGAUCGACGAGAUCAUGCAAAUGCUUGAGGCCAUGGGAAAUCGGAUGGAUCAGCGGGCUCAGAAUCAAGCCGCCGUUACUAUUGCUACUGUCGCCGCCACCGCACCUGUUGCCGCACCCACCACCGCACCUAUUGCCGUGCCUGUUGCCGCACCAGUUGCCGUGCCUGUUGCCGCACCAGUUGCCGCGCCUAUUGCCGCACGAAUUGCUUUGCCUGUUGUUGCAUCUGCUGAAAUUCCACCUGGGAACGUGGUCACUAGGAGACCAAUUCAUAAGUUAGUAGAGCAUUUCCUAAAGCUGAACUCGUGGAAGUUCUUUGGUGAAGGAGAUCCUGAGGCUGCGUCGCUCUAGGUCUAAGGUCUUGAUAAAGCUUUUGCAUUUCUAAUGUGCAAUGAAGAGGAGAAAGUGGUUUUGGCUGUGUACCAACUACAAAGUAACGCCAAUAUCUGGUAGAGAGCCGCCAAAGAGAUAGUAUUUCCUGAAGGUGUGACUCCGUGUGAGACGCUUUCCUAAGAGCCUUCAAUGAUCAGUACUUUUCAGGUAGUGCCUGAGAGCAGAAGAUGGAGGAAUUUCAGCGCCUCCGUCAAGGAUCGAUGUUUGUUGAUCAGUAUGGGGUCAAAUUUACAAAGCUUUCUCAGUAUGCUCCGAGGUUAAUUGCGGAUCCAGAAGAAAAAGCUAGAAUGUUCAGGAAUGGUCUUCAUCUUGAAUUGAAGCAAUCUCUACUACCGUUAGAUCUGACAGAAUAUCGAGAAGUCUAUGGUCGAGCUCAAAUGAUAGAGAGAGGUUUGAAUGAGCAAGUCGCCUCAUCUGGAUCGAGGUUUAACAUGAAUCGUGAUGGAAUCCGAUUAAGGAAGAAGCCCAUGACCGGAGGAAAGCAUCAUGUUCCACCCAAUAGGAAGGGUGGAAUUGGAAAGCCAACGCCAAAUCAGAAUGGUGCGUGUCGCUUCUACGAAAGGCGACAUGGUACAGCCCCAUGCCAUCUUAGGAUGGGUAUUUGCUACGAGUGUGGCUAGCAUGGACACUUGGCUAGAGAUUGUCCCAGAAAGCAGAGAGGGCCGCAAUAAUUACCGCCGCCGCUACUGCUAUCGUUGGGUCAGAAUAGGGGAUUCGCGCCGCAAAUCGCACCAUAGGGUGGACCGAUUAGACCUCCAGCUUAAGGAAGAACAUAUGCCAUCACAAGAGGACAGGCGGAGGAUGCACCUCAUGUGAUUACAAGUACGGUUUCGUUGAACGAUCAUGCUGUUUAUGUUUUGUUUGACCUUAGCACCACUCAUUCCUUUAUAGUUGCACAGUUUGUUAAGCUGAUAGGAUUAAGUCCUAAAUUAUUGGAGUCAAUGGUUAGCAUAUCUGCACCGUUAAAGGAUAAGGUGUUAAUUGCAUUGGGUUGUUCUAGUUGCAAGUUAGUGAUUAGUGAGGGAGAGGGGGAAAUAGAUCUGAUAGUUCUAGCCAUAUAUGAUUUUGAUGUGAUAAUUGGCAUGGACUGCCUCACCAAGCAACGAGUUAAGAUGGACUAUUAUCAUAAGUCGAUUCAGUUUAACCCGUUAGGGGGUGAGAGUUUCAAGUUCACUAGGAGUCAAGGAGGACCCUCUAUUACCCUAAUCUCGUCACUUGAGGCAACCUGUUUGUUAGACGGGGCUUGUCAAGGUUACUUGGCAACUGUCAUGGAUACGACAAUCUAGGAGCUGAAGCUAAAAGAUAUAUCAGUGGUUUAAGAAUUUGCAGAUGUGUUUCCUAAAGAGUUGCCAGGUCCACCGCCAGAGAGAGAGAUCGAGUUUGUGAUUGAGCUAGCACCCGGGACAAAGCCAAUCUUUAAGGCUCCUCAACGGAUGACGUUGUCUGAAUUGAAUGAACUGAAGUGCAGAUGCAAGAAUUGCUGGAUAAGGGCUUCAUAUGCCCUAACGCAUCGCCUUGGGGAGCACCAAUUCUAUUUGUAAAGAAGAAGGAUGGUUCGUUACGUCUGUGCAUCGACUACCGUCAACUAAAUCAAGUGACGAUCAAGAAUAAGUAUCCACUCUCAAGGAUCAACGACUUGUUUGACCAACUUCAAGGAGCGUCGAUAUUUUCAAAGAUCGACUUGAGGACAGGAUAUCAUCAGUUGAGGAUCAAGAAGGAAGAUAUACCGAAAUCAGCGUUUCGUACUCGAUACAACCAUUAUUAAUUUACUGUAAUGUUGUUUGGUUUGACGAAUGCUUCAGCUGCUUUUAUGGAUCUGAUGAACCAUGUGUUUAAGGAGUAUCUGGAUUAGUUUGUGAUCGUGUUCAUCGACGACAUCUUGGUGUACUCAAGAAGUUUAGAAGAACAUGAAAGACAGUUGAAGAUAAUGCUACAGACUCUGAGGAAUCAUGAGUUGUAUGCCAAGUUUAGUAAGUGCGAGUUUUGGUUAACUCGUGUGGCGUUCCUAAGUCACGUGAUUUCAGGCGAAGGAAUAUCAGUGGACUCGUCUAAGAUUGAAGCAGUGAUCAACUGGCAGAGACCGAUGACAGUAAUAGAGAUCAGAAGUUUUCUAGGUUUGGCAAGGUAUUACAGAAGGUUUGUGGAAGGGUUUUCAGCGUGAGCGUCGCCGUUGACUCGACUACUGAAGAAGGAAGAGAAGUUCGUGUGGACAGACGAGUGUGAGCAUAGUUUUCAAGAGCUUAAGAAGAGGCUGACUACCGCACCUGUGCUGACUAUACCGUUUGGUUCUGGAGGUUAUGAGAUCUACAGUGAUGCUUCAUUCAGUGGACUGGGUUGCGUGCUGAUGCAACAUGGUAAGGUUGUUGCAUACGCGUCCCGUCAGUUGACGCCUAAUGAAUUGAAUUACCCGGCGCAUGACUUAGAACUUACAGCUAUUAUCUUUGCUUUGAAGAUUUGGAUACAUUAUUUGUGCGAAGAAAGAUUCCAGAUCUUCACUGACCAUCAGAGUCUCAAGUAUUUAUUCUCUCAGAAGGAGUUGAAUAUGAGAUAGUGUCGCUGGAUGGAACUCCUGAAAGACUAUAGGAUUGUGAUAUUCUGUAUCACCCUGGAAAAGCAAAUAAGGUCGUGGAUGCUCUAAUUUGGAAGUCUUCAGUUGCUCAAAUGGUGCUCAAGGAAUGAAGAUUAAUCGAGAAAGUUCGAGAUUCAAGUUUCAAAUUUGAGGUAGGCCACCUUUUGAACCUUAUGGCCACUCUCAGAAUUGAGUCGGAAGUUCAUAUCAGAAUCAAGAUGCUUUAGUGGACAGAUCCAGAAAUUCAGAAGAUUCUGCAAAAGAAUACGAAAAAGAAGAAUGCUAACUUUUAGAUUGCUGAGGAUAGAACACUGAGGUUCUAAGGACGAUUGUGUGUACCUGACAAUGUAGAGCUUAAAGAAGAGAUUUUAUCAAAGGCUCAUCGUAGUAGUUACAGUAUUCAUCCUGACAGUACGAAGAUUUAUCAGAAUCUGCGUCAAUAUUAUUGGUGGUCUGGUAUGAAGGCGGACAUCGCCAAGCAUGUCGUCAAAUGUCUGACCUAUCAGCAAGUAAAGGCACAGUACUAUAAGCCGGGAGAAUUUCUGCAACCUCUCGAGAUUUCCGAGUGGAAAUGGGAACAUAUCACGAUGGACUUCGUGACUGGACUACCAAGGAGUCAGAGAGGAAUGAUUCGAUUCGGGUAGUGGUCAACAGAUUGACAAAAUUGGCUCACUUUAUUGCAGUGUAAAAGGACCAUAGUUUGGAUAGACACGCAGACCUGUACGUGCGUCAGAUCGUUCGUCUGCAUGGAGUGCUAGUAACGAUUACUUCAUACAGAGACUCGAGGUUCACAGCCACCUUUUGGAAAAGCUUGCAGAGUGCUUUGGGUAUGAAGCUACAGUACAGUAGGCCUAUCAUCCUCAAAUGGAUGGCCAGUCUGAGAGGACAAUUCAAACCUUUGAAGACAUGCUGCGAGCUUGCGAACUGGAUUUUAGGGGAAAUUGGGAAGAGCAGCUUCAUCUCGUCGAAUUUGCCUACAACAAUAGUUAUCAGCAGAGUAUAUAGAUGGCGCCUUUUGAAGCGUUGUAUGGCAGAGCGUGUAGAACGCCCGUGUGUUGAGAUGAGGUUGGAGAAAGAAAGCUUACAGGCCCAGAGUUAGUCCAGCAAUUAGUGGAUGCAGUUACAUGAUCAGAAGAAGAUUACAGAUUGCUCAGAGUCACCAGAAAAGCUACGUAGACAGUGCCGAGACCGUUGAGUUCCAAGUUGUGAUCAUGUUUUCUAAGGUGUCGCCAAUGAGGGGCACUUCGCACUUUAGCAAGAAAGGAAAACCGAGUCCGAGGUACGUAGGUCCCUUUGAGAUUCUAGAAAGAAUCGGGAUUCUGGCUUAUCGUCUUGCAUUACCACCAAAGUUGGCGCAAGUACAUGACGUCUUUCACGUGUCGAUGUUGAGAAAGUAUGAGCCUAACUCGACCCACGUGCUUAAUUUUGAGGAAUUGGACGUGGACAAUAGAAUAUCGUACGUUGAAAACCUGGUUCAGAUUAUUGAUCGCAAAAAGCAAGUUCUGCACACCAAGACCAUUCUGUUAGUCAAAGUGGUCUGGCAACACCACGGUACCCAAAGAGCAACUUGGGAAAGUGAAGAGUCGAUGAGAGAAUUGUACCCCCACCUUUUUGUUCAAAGAUUGUAAUGGUUUAAAUUUCAAUGAUGGAAUUUUUAUAAGAGGAGAAGAGUUGUGACAUUCCAAAUUUCUGAUUCUGUUUUCAAUUAAAUGAGACGGACUUUUCAUCGACGCGCUUAUAAUUCAAUUCUUCGAGCUAAUCACUCACAAUAUAACUAGUCUAUUAGGUGAAGCCGUUAAGAAAUUUAAAUGCAAUAGGCUUGAGAAUCUGACCAUAAAUCGGUUGCUUGACCGUAUUAAUCUGCAAAGAUCAUUACGACAUUGUCACAAUCGAACAGAGAUCAGUAAUAGGUCGAUUCGACUGAGAUAUGUGAUUAGAGUGUGGGUGAUUCCACAUGAUUUCAAUAUCCUCGUCAACUGGCACUAAAACGAUUCUUCUGUCAUUUUGGGUACCCUGUUCCGUAAUUGAAACAUCGAGAUUUUUACGACAACCGAGAAUCACCAAUGUGUCGAAGAUUAUGUAGUGGCUUGAAAAUAAUCAACCACGGGUCAAUUGCACUGAAAAUUUCUAAAAGCUACCCAGUAGCUCAAAUCGUGCCAAAUUAAAAUUAAUCGUGAUUUUAAACCCGAAUUCAGAAAUUAAAAGUUCUGUCAUGUCACAAUUCAUUUUAGAAACGUUGACUCAUCUUCAGAAUAUUUUUCUGCAAACCAGGAUUUUUGGCGGAAAAACAAAGUAAUGCUGUUUUUGUUCGGGAUUGUCAGAGGGCCGUUUUUUGAUCGAAUCUUUGGAAUGCAAGUUGGAUCAUUUCAUGAGAAAAAGACAUAAGAAGGUUGAGGACACAUGGACCGAUUUAAUUGAGCUUUAAUUGGAUGGAAUUGAGUGAGAAUUGGUUGGAUUUGACGUACAAAUAUUCAAAAUUCGUAACUCCCUUGGCACGUACAUUUUGGGCACUUUGCCAAGCUUGUUGAGGAAGCUAAUGAAGGGCAAAUGGCUGAGGGGUGGGCUGGCCAUGGUGGGGGCAAGAGAGAGGGGAGAAGGACAAGUGUUAAGCCCUUAAGAGCUCUUGGGGCCCCCCUUUAUUUAGCCACUUCAUCUUCUCCAAUAGACUUCACUUUCUCCAUUGUUGUCCUCCUUUGAGCUCCCAAGAACCAGCAAAACCGAGCCAGCCUUCCCUCCUUGCCGUUGCAUGCCUGUUUGGCCACCAAACCACUGCUCCGUCCACCGUUGCAGGCUGCUGGUUGCUACUCGCUGUCCAGCUUCUCCACGCGCCGUCUCACCCAGCUCGCGCCACCUGCUGCUGUCCCGAAGGUCCCUAGUCGUCGAUCAGCCAUUGUCAGACUGCCGGAGCCACCGCCUGCACCCACCUGACCUCCGCCUAUCCGCUGCCACUCCUCCUUCGUCGUUCGGCCUCAACCAUCGCUGGUUCUAGCCCUUGCCAAUCCAAGAUCAAAAGAGAAAUCCAGCAAGACCUUAGAGGCUUCGAGGCCCGUUUUUGGUGUCUUCCCGGUCUCCAUUGGUGUCACCGCUUCAGGGUUUAUCGACCGCCUUGGUGUCGUGGUCACCGUGAACUCACUGGCACGCAAAACCAGUGAAUUUAUCCUCUAAACCUCGCUUAGUAAGUUAAUUAUGCUUAAGGGGUGUUUAGAUUAGUCUAAGUAACUUUAGGUGGUUAGAUUAGAUUAUUUAAAUGUUAAUUAGAUUAGUUGUAGAUUAGUUUAGUGGUUGAUUAAUUAUGGCUAAUUGUAUGUUUAAAUUAGUAAAAUAUUAUUUAAGCCCUAAUUAAUUAUUUUUAAUUAUUUAUUUAUUUCGAAUUUUAUAAAUAUUAUUUUAUUAAAUUAUAUUAUUAUAAUAUAAUAAUUAAUUAUUUAAUUUUAGGAAUUUAAUUUAAUUAUUUAAUAUUUUUGAAAAUUUUGCCGAGAUGGCUGAUUGUUAGAAUUUUGCAUUGAUCACAACAGUGCGAUCAGUUUGUGCUAAUUGUAUGUUAAAUUGAGAAAUUAAGUGAAAAUGAUAAUUGUGGAUAAUUAUUCUCAAAGUGUGGAAUUGAGUGAAAUUGGAGAAGUUUUGGUAUUUAACUUGAAAAUACCCGGUGUCGACUUUUGGCACCGUAAUUGGUUUGUAGGACAGUUUGUAUCGUGGAUCUAAAUGAAUUGUUUAUCCAGUUCUCUGGUUUAUUAUUGAUUAUAUAGCUUUGGCGAGCUAUUAUAUAUGCUACAGCUUUGGCGAGCUAUUGUAUAUGUUACAACUUUGGUAAGCUACCGUCUAUAUAUUAUAGCUUUGAAGAGCAUAUGCCUUAUUGACGAAUGAUUUGAUAGACGGUAUUAAAAGAUAGAUAGUAUGAUUGAGUUGAAUCAUUGGGACUGAUUUGAUUGGUUGAUUUAUGAAAUGUACUGAUGUGCAGGAAGGAACUGAGGCGAGGUAAGUCCUCAAUCCUCUCUGUGUGGCUAGAGUGCCCUGGGGCUUUUUUUUUUCCUAAUCGAGUCUUAAAGGGUAGGACUCGCUGAGACAUUAUCUCAUCCCAUUGUAGGAUAAUAUUUUAAGGUCCCUAAAUAACGGAUCCUCCAAAGCUUUUUGUAGACUAGUGAGGGUCACUGAGAGGAUUUUUUACUAUGCCGAUCCUGGAAGUCAUUGGGUCUAUGAACUUGCGAUGAAUACUGUCUGGGUCGAUGAGAACCUUCCUCAUAGGGUCCCUCAUCGAUUCAGAGCGUGGUAUCGCUAUAGACCCGAUGGAUUCCUGAAUGGUCCUCUAAAGUGUUUUGAUAUUCCCCUUGGUAUCAUAGAUGCCGCUCUAGGUGAGAGUGUUGUUGAUCCUCCAGAUGGGUUGGUGGAAGACCCGACGCCCCCGGUGCCAUUGAAGACUGAUGAACUGGCAACUAGAUCUAACUAGCUGGUCUUAGGAUAGCUUAGUUUUUGAGGACUGGUCUUCUAUAGAUCUUUUGUUAAUAGCCUAGUCCUGUAAAUGAACUAGUUUGAUGUGUAUAAAGGUGUGUGGUUUGGAUUUAAAAAUGUAAUCCUGCCUUUCUAUCCCAAUUGAGUUUUGUCUAGGGAUUAUUUACCUGCUUUCGUAUGUGCAUUAAAAUAAAUGGGUCGGCGACAUGUCCUGAAAAGUCACUUUUCUAUCGACCGUAGUGGGAUGUGCACAUGCUUGAGGUUCGGGGCGUGACAUCCUCCCUCCCUUCCUCUCUCUCUCUCUUGUCUCUUCUCCCUCUCUGCACAAACCAAGCCAUGUCAGCAUGGUCCAGCAAGCCCGAAAUAGGGCAUGAACACAAAAACAGGGGCGGUCGGCCCAGAGUCCCUACUGGGCUCGCAGCAUCGGACGGCGGAUGAGCUCAAAGACCGGGCUACGUUCGGCCACCUCGCGCACCUCCGAGCUGAGAUCCUUGGGAAACCGACCCCGAGUCGUGGCAAUCAAAGAACGAUGGACGAAGCACCACCCUCCGUAGGUUGAUUCGGAAAGGGAGAGGGCGAACGCUGGUGAGCCCCUGGCCGUACUCGUCGCCCGAGGACGCUAAAUUUCUCACUCGGCUUUUUCUCGCCGCUCACCCCUUCGAUCUCCUCUGUCUCCCCCCUCCCAUUCUCUCUUGCCGAAGACUCCUAUUUAUAGGCCGAGAAGGCUUCGGCCGCAAUGUGCAGCCAACGAAAAAGGGCAUCUCUAUUGCCCCAAUCAUUGCAUCAGUUGCGGCCAUUCUGGUCUUGAUUUUCAUUGGGAGCUCUUGAAGUAUUGUGGAUAAUCAAAAGAAGACAAAUCCAAGGUGACUUUCUUGCGUAUUGCAUGUGCAAGAAAAAUCAAAAUCUCUCACAUGGGAUUUUGUUAGUCCAGGUCAAGUUUUGAACCCCAUACUGGUUUUGCAGAUCAUCAGCAGAACGAACGCUUUUGUCUCAUGACCUUUUUUUUUUUUUUUGGGUUAGUCCUACUCUAUUCCUACUCUACACUCACUCUCAGACUUUUGCCCUACCUCUUGCAGGGCGUGGGAGUCGAAACCUACUCCUGAAACUUACGCGUCCCCACCCCAUCUCUUCCUGAAAAGGUGGGGAUUUGAACCCCUCACCUCCCCCUUCCAUGUGGGAAGGGUGACCACUGAAGCGUAUCCCAGUGUUUUUGUCUCAUGACCAAAUAGCUCAAAAAUGUUUACAAGUUAGUAAGAUACCAUAUAGUUUUCAAGAACAUAUUUUUUUAAAAAAAAAUCUCAUGAAGUGGUCAAAAAAUUGAAUUUUGCAAAUCCUUUGAGUUUGAAUUUAUUUCCACACUAAUACCAGAACCUCCGAAACUCACUUUCCAGCAAUUUUUAUCGUAAUCAUGGACUAAUUUAGCAUUCGAAUCAGCGGAGAAUUUUUAGACAUGUAAAAAUUAAUUUAAUUUCAAAAAAUUUCCAUAUACACUACUAUAUUUGUUUAAAAAUGCUUUAAAAUUCCGAAAUUUGCCCGAAUAUUAUAAUACGAAAAAUGACAUAAGCACGUCGUUUUUCCAUCCACUGAGUGCGACAAAAUUUCAAGUAUCCUUCUUUUUAUUGCUUACCAGAAAUUCAUAAUAUUCGAGAAAUUACAGGAAAUUGCAAUGAUUCAAAAAAAUCUCCAGAAAAUUCGCACAACGAAAUAGACGGAUCGGACCCCACACAGAGAGAAAACAGAUUUCAGGUUGAUUCCAGUCACUCGGGUUAUACGGCAGAGAGAGAUCAAAAUUACAAAUCCUCCAUCACAAAACAAUGCCGGGCCGUUUAUCUUUUCCUUGGAAAUUUAAUUUAAUUAUUUAAUAUUUUUGAAAAUUUUGCCGAGAUGGCUGAUUGUUAGAAUUUUGCAUUGAUCACAACAGUGCGAUCAGUUUGUGCUAAUUGUAUGUUAAAUUGAGAAAUUAAGUGAAAAUGAUAAUUGUGGAUAAUUAUUCUCAAAGUGUGGAAUUGAGUGAAAUUGGAGAAGUUUUGGUAUUUAACUUGAAAAUACCCGGUGUCGACUUUUGGCACCGUAAUUGGUUUGUAGGACAGUUUGUAUCGUGGAUCUAAAUGAAUUGUUUAUCCAGUUCUCUGGUUUAUUAUUGAUUAUAUAGCUUUGGCGAGCUAUUAUAUAUGCUACAGCUUUGGCGAGCUAUUGUAUAUGUUACAACUUUGGUAAGCUACCGUCUAUAUAUUAUAGCUUUGAAGAGCAUAUGCCUUAUUGACGAAUGAUUUGAUAGACGGUAUUAAAAGAUAGAUAGUAUGAUUGAGUUGAAUCAUUGGGACUGAUUUGAUUGGUUGAUUUAUGAAAUGUACUGAUGUGCAGGAAGGAACUGAGGCGAGGUAAGUCCUCAAUCCUCUCUGUGUGGCUAGAGUGCCCUGGGGCUUUUUUUUUUCCUAAUCGAGUCUUAAAGGGUAGGACUCGCUGAGACAUUAUCUCAUCCCAUUGUAGGAUAAUAUUUUAAGGUCCCUAAAUAACGGAUCCUCCAAAGCUUUUUGUAGACUAGUGAGGGUCACUGAGAGGAUUUUUUACUAUGCCGAUCCUGGAAGUCAUUGGGUCUAUGAACUUGCGAUGAAUACUGUCUGGGUCGAUGAGAACCUUCCUCAUAGGGUCCCUCAUCGAUUCAGAGCGUGGUAUCGCUAUAGACCCGAUGGAUUCCUGAAUGGUCCUCUAAAGUGUUUUGAUAUUCCCCUUGGUAUCAUAGAUGCCGCUCUAGGUGAGAGUGUUGUUGAUCCUCCAGAUGGGUUGGUGGAAGACCCGACGCCCCCGGUGACAUUGAAGACUGAUGAACUGGCAACUAGAUCUAACUAGCUGGUCUUAGGAUAGCUUAGUUUUUGAGGACUGGUCUUCUAUAGAUCUUUUGUUAAUAGCCUAGUCCUGUAAAUGAACUAGUUUGAUGUGUAUAAAGGUGUGUGGUUUGGAUUUAAAAAUGUAAUCCUGCCUUUCUAUCCCAAUUGAGUUUUGUCUAGGGAUUAUUUACCUGCUUUCGUAUGUGCAUUAAAAUAAAUGGGUCGGCGACAUGUCCUGAAAAGNNNNNNNNNNNNNNNNNNNNNNNNNNNNNNNNNNNNNNNNNNNNNNNNNNNNNNNNNNNNNNNNNNNNNNNNNNNNNNNNNNNNNNNNNNNNNNNNNNNNUCCAUGAUUCUCCAAUAUCUCAUAAAUCAAAUUCAAAAUCCACAUUAUAAAUCAGAAUAUAUUUCGCAAACCAAAACAUAUACCCCUUCCGCAACAUAGCUCAUGAGCCAGAAUACCUAUCGUAAAUUACUCAUCAAAUAAUUUCAGAAUUUAUAGAAUAAACCAGAUUCACAAAGCAGUAAAGCAGUAAAUAUAACAUUUUACAAUCCUUUUCUCAAUAUCUUUCAUAAAACUUUCUCAAUCCAUUCACAAAUAACUUAAAAAAUAGUAAAUGCUCAAUCUAGAUUUCAUGCAAUAAAGAAUAUCAUUUCAUAACUCAUAUGAUUUUUAAUAUCUGUCACUUUCAAAACAUGAAUUUACCAAUUUAAAAAAGAGAUAAGCACCACUUGUUUGAGAAAAUUCUUAUACCAAAUAACAAAGAUUACUUGAGUCCAUGAACUCGCAAUGCUAUCAAAUAAACAAGCAACAAUAUCAAAAUCAAAUAGAAUUUUAUCUCGAUUCGACUAAACUUUGCUUCUUCACCAACUAUUACAUGCUAAUAAAAUGCUCAUUUUGAUCAAAUUGUAACUUGGAAUCCAUUUUUAAUAAACCCUACAAUUACACGAUUCUUUUAAUUAUUACUUCCAUAUAAUUUCACGGCCUAAUAAUUUUUAAAAAGUGGAGUCACUGACAGCUUAACAAAUCCUUACCGGUUGCUACAAAACCUAGUUAAUCCGUCUUCAAGGGUGCACUCCUUCCCCGUUUCUCGUUCCUUUCCUCUUUCCCCCUUUUUUCCCUUUUAGGCCCUGUUUUGUAACCAUCCAAAUAGGGCCAAAUUCUUAUUUUUGUUCCCAGAAUCAGUUUGGGCCUAAAAUCGCGUUUAGUAAAAUUUUUGUUUCUGGGAACAAAUUUGUUCCCGGGAACAAAUUUGUUCCUAGGAAUAGAUUGGGAAUAGAAUCAAGAACAAAAAAAAAGUUAAUUCUUAUUCCGGGAACGAAUUUGAGAAUCAAAAUCAAGAACUUUUCUUCUUCCUUUCGGCCAUCUCGCGACCGCCGUCCACCACCGCCCGCCACCAUCCACCGUCCGCCGCUGCCGUCCACUGCCGCCGUUCGCCACCGAUUGCCGUCCGCUGCCACUGGCCGCCUUCCGCCGCCGCCAGCCGCCGGUCCAGCGAGCUCGCCGGAGGCUCGCCAAACCAGGGCGAGGUUCAGCGAGCUCGUCGGAGGCAAGCCUAGCCACCGGCGAGCUCGUUGCGGCUGGGCAGGGGCUGGGCAAGCCUCGCGACGCCCAGCCCCAUCGGUGGCCAGGCGAGGCUUGCCCAGCCCCGCCGGUGGCCUGGCAGGCCUCGCCAAGCCCCGGCGAGGCUAGCCUGGCCACCGGCGACCGGCCACAAGAAGAAGAAGAAGAUGAGAAAAAGGAAAAAAAAAAAAAAAAAAGGAAAAAGGAAAAGGAAAAAAGAAAAGAAAAAAAAGGAAAAAAGUAAAAAAUUUAUUUAAAAAUUAAAAGAUAUUAAUUUGGAACAAAAUUAAUGAGCACGGUACCAAACGCAAUUCUAUUCCAGAAUCAGAAAUGUUGGACAGUUACCAAACGGUUUAAAAUGCUUAGAAUUAGUUCCCGGAAACAGAAUAAAAAAGAAUUAGUUCUAAUCAGAAUCUAUUCCCGGGAACAGAAUCGUUACUAAACGCGCCCUUAGUUUUCUCUUUGUUCUCUUUAUGUCCGUGUUUCUUCUUUUUUUCCUUCUAGAUUCCAAUGGUUCAUCCACUUUUUGACCAUGUGAAAUUUCAUUUUUCUUUACCCAAAAAACCAAAAACUUUCCCCCUUUUUUUGGGCGCCUCUUCUUUUGACCCAGUCCAGAAGCCAAUAUCAUCCACUUUUUGACCAUGUGAAAUUUCCUUUUUCUUUACCCAAAGGACCAAAACCUUCCCCCCCUUGUUUUGGGCGCUUCUUUUGACCCGGUCCAAAAGCCAAUUUCACUUGGAUGCCGUACAGUGCGCACGUAUUGUGUGUUUGUCUUUCUUUUUGUUUUUGGCCUGAAAUUACGCGACGAUGGUGGGGGAACCAAAAAAGUAAUCUGGUAUCUUUUUCUUCGAUAGUACCUAUUUUUCCAAUCAAACAUAGGAGUGGCCUAGUGAGACACUAAAGUUGCGCAUAACAACGUUUCUUGAUCGGGGAAUAAUUUUUUUCAGAAAUAAUUCUUUUCUAUUUCUACUUCGGGGAAUAAAAUUUGAGUAAAAAAAUCCAUUAGAUAACUACACAAAAUUUCUACUCUUGAAAUAGAAAAAUAAUAGAAAUACGUUUGGUAACGUAACAGCAGCGGUUGCGAGUGGCUGGCAGCGGUCGGCGAUCAGCGGUGGCUCCGGGCAAUUGGAGGUGAUCGCAGGAAGAGAAAGGAAUAAAAGAAAAAUAAAAAAUAAAAUUGACUUAUUUCUAAAAAUUGUUCCCGGGAACAAGAAACAACUGUUUUUUGUUUUUUGUUUCUGUUUCGAAUCUAUUCUCGGGCUAACUUUCUAUUCUCAAGAAUAGAAAAACAACUUGGCGUUACCAAAUGAAUUUCUGUUUUUUUUUUUUUCCGAGGAACAAAAGAACAGAAAUUCAGAGAAAUAGAAACGUUAUCAUGCACUGCCUAAUAUCCCGCUAAGAACUUUCGAGUUUUUACAGCCGGCGUUGAGGGAAAUUACAUUGUGAAGGGGGAAACGUGCCAUCCUUCUCGGAAAGCGGCAUUCCCGCGUGGGCACAGGCACGCCUCUUGACCGAGACUUUAUUUGAUGAUCAUGAGUCUCUUUCCCGCAAGAAGCGGAAAUUGACAACUCGCAAACCUUGUAUAUCUCGUGAUCAUCACAUCCUUUUCCUAUGAGAGAAGGGAAUAGAUCUUGUGCAUAGAGAUUUGUUUCAGGUGGUGAUAGAGCACACGGUUUGGCUUUCAAGAGCAGAGCGAAAGGAAGGAAAUGGUCACCAAUUCACCCAUCUCCGAUUCCUCUCGUUCUUCAUCAUUUUCAACAUCAGAAGCGGCAUUACCAACCUGUCAGCCACGUAACUAUACUAACGGCUGCCUCAAAGCUUUAGUCAACCAGUUCGUCGUCACUGGUACUUCUCGCGUCGUCACUGGUACUUCUCGUAUCUCAACAUUUUGGCCACGGGACUAAUAUGCACUCCUACUCACAUUUCCCUCAUUUGUGCUUGUGCCCACCUUAUCAAAAGCUUCUCUGGCCUAUUUGUAGGUUCUGUAAGUUGGUUGUUUUUUUGUGAAUAAUACUUGCUGGCUUCUUCCAGCAAACAUCACGUAAACGUGACAGGCAACGUGAUUUGGAAAAGAAUGGACCCUAAAAAACAAGAAGGGUAUCCUAGAGAGGAUGUUCAUGAUGUGCUAGAUAGUUGUAUAGAGUCCUGUUGGUCAUUUUUAACUGGACGCUUAACUAGCCAGAAUUUCAUCCAUGACAAGCAUGCAAAAAAGUGACAACUUGAGAAUUCUAUUUUCCCUGAUUAGUCUGAUGCUCCAUAAGGUGCCAGAACUUCAAUCCCUGCCGCUUUUUUUACCUAUAUGUCAUCUUCUCCUUGAAUAAUAUCAUAAUUGCAUCUAUGCGUAUCUACAUCUCGUAUAGAUAAAGGCAUGAAAACUUCCUUUGGUUGAGGUAACUCGCUUCGCUCUUUCAAAUUUCAUUUUUUAUGACUCGGUCUCUCCUUAUAAUAAGUCAUUACAUACUUUUUCAAAAAGGUUCUUUUUGUAGUGAAGGCAUGUGAUGUCAAACUGAAAAUCAUGAUCCGCUGCUGUUGAGAUUAUAUAAUUUCCUUUUCAUUUCUCCAGACGUUACUACUAUUACUACAACUACCAACUGUAGCGAAGGAUAUACUGGGACAUUGUCAUGCUAGCAUAUUCCGGGAAAAAGGAACAUUUUAUUAUGAAUCCUUCCAAAUUAAGUCACCACUUUGGUUUUUCUGAACUUCAUAAUUUCGGGAUGGUUUUCUUCACAAGUUGCCCAUAUUGAGUGUCUAAGAGCAAGUCAUGAAUACAGAAAAGAAGAAUGAAGAACGGACAACAUUGGAAUUUUCUUCCAAAUUAAGUCAUUGGUCUAAUGCAUAUGAAUCUAAUGUUCCUACAUACUCAACUAGACAACAAGCAAGUGGCAAAACUAAGUCAACUGGAGAAUCUAAUUUUCUCUGUUUAGUCUAAUGGUCCCUUGGGGAAGAAUUUGAUGGUUCAGAAUUUGAUUGUGCAAUUCCGGAUAUAUCUGCAUCCUGAACUGCAACCGCUGCCUGGAUCUUUCACGUUUCGUCCACUCCUAUCAGUUACUUUUCUUUUUCCCUUUGAUCACACAAUUGGAGUUGUCUUAGGAUAUUUACCUUGAAAGUCUACAAUAUUCAAAAGUCGUCAUCAAGUACUCAUUUUAAGAUUGUAUGCAGAAUCCAAUGGGCAAAUGAGCAGAUUAACAGUUUUCAAGUAUGAUGAGAUUUUGACGAUCACCAAGAACUUUGAAAGAGAGAUUGGAGAAGGAGCAUUUGGAAAAGUAUAUCUUGGUAAACUAGGAGACGAGACAAAAGUUGCCGUGAAGGUGCUCUCUGAAUCAUCAUGGCAGGGUAGCAAGCAAUUUCGAGCUGAGGUUUGAUAGAAUGAUUUGAUGUGAUGCUUAUUUGACAGCUUGAUCCCAUAUUACAGCAAUGUCAAUAUGAAAUGCACAUUCGUGAUAUUGCAGACAAAACUCUUAAUGACUGUCUACCAUGGAAACUUGGUUUCCCUGAUUGGAUAUUGUGAUGACUCCAAAAAUAUGGUGUUAGUAUAUGAAUUCAUGGCCAACGGAAAUCUACAACAACACUUGUCAGGUACUUUAUCAUAUUCUUGCAUGUUUCUGGNNNNNNNNNNNNNNNNNNNNNNNNNNNNNNNNNNNNNNNNNNNNNNNNNNNNNNNNNNNNNNNNNNNNNNNNNNNNNNNNNNNNNNNNNNNNNNNNNNNNNNNNNNNNNNNNNNNNNNNNNNNNNNNNNNNNNNNNNNNNNNNNNNNNNNNNNNNNNNNNNNNNNNNNNNNNNNNNNNNNNNNNNNNNNNNNNNNNNNNNNNNNNNNNNNNNNNNNNNNNNNNNNNNNNNNNNNNNNNNNNNNNNNNNNNNNNNNNNNNNNNNNNNNNNNNNNNNNNNNNNNNNNNNNNNNNNNNNNNNNNNNNNNNNNNNNNNNNNNNNNNNNNNNNNNNNNNNNNNNNNNNNNNNNNNNNNNNNNNNNNNNNNNNNNNNNNNNNNNNNNNNNNNNNNNNNNNNNNNNNNNNNNNNNNNNNNNNNNNNNNNNNNNNNNNNNNNNNNNNNNNNNNNNNNNNNNNNNNNNNNNNNNNNNNNNNNNNNNNNNNNNNNNNNNNNNNNNNNNNNNNNNNNNNNNNNNNNNNNNNNNNNNNNNNNNNNNNNNNNNNNNNNNNNNNNNNNNNNNNNNNNNNNNNNNNNNNNNNNNNNNNNNNNNNNNNNNNNNNNNNNNNNNNNNNNNNNNNNNNNNNNNNNNNNNNNNNNNNNNNNNNNNNNNNNNNNNNNNNNNNNNNNNNNNNNNNNNNNNNNNNNNNNNNNNNNNNNNNNNNNNNNNNNNNNNNNNNNNNNNNNNNNNNNNNNNNNNNNNNNNNNNNNNNNNNNNNNNNNNNNNNNNNNNNNNNNNNNNNNNNNNNNNNNNNNNNNNNNNNNNNNNNNNNNNNNNNNNNNNNNNNNNNNNNNNNNNNNNNNNNNNNNNNNNNNNNNNNNNNNNNNNNNNNNNNNNNNNNNNNNNNNNNNNNNNNNNNNNNNNNNNNNNNNNNNNNNNNNNNNNNNNNNNNNNNNNNNNNNNNNNNNNNNNNNNNNNNNNNNNNNNNNNNNNNNNNNNNNNNNNNNNNNNNNNNNNNNNNNNNNNNNNNNNNNNNNNNNNNNNNNNNNNNNNNNNNNNNNNNNNNNNNNNNNNNNNNNNNNNNNNNNNNNNNNNNNNNNNNNNNNNNNNNNNNNNNNNNNNNNNNNNNNNNNNNNNNNNNNNNNNNNNNNNNNNNNNNNNNNNNNNNNNNNNNNNNNNNNNNNNNNNNNNNNNNNNNNNNNNNNNNNNNNNNNNNNNNNNNNNNNNNNNNNNNNNNNNNNNNNNNNNNNNNNNNNNNNNNNNNNNNNNNNNNNNNNNNNNNNNNNNNNNNNNNNNNNNNNNNNNNNNNNNNNNNNNNNNNNNNNNNNNNNNNNNNNNNNNNNNNNNNNNNNNNNNNNNNNNNNNNNNNNNNNNNNNNNNNNNNNNNNNNNNNNNNNNNNNNNNNNNNNNNNNNNNNNNNNNNNNNNNNNNNNNNNNNNNNNNNNNNNNNNNNNNNNNNNNNNNNNNNNNNNNNNNNNNNNNNNNNNNNNNNNNNNNNNNNNNNNNNNNNNNNNNNNNNNNNNNNNNNNNNNNNNNNNNNNNNNNNNNNNNNNNNNNNNNNNNNNNUAAAUGCCUGAGCCGCCACCGUAGCGGCUCAGAAUUGCAGGUUUGGAUUAUCUCCAUAAGGGUUGUGUGCAGCCCAUAAUCCACAGAUACAUCAAGGCUUCAAAUAUCUUGUUGAAUGAAAACAUGCAAGCCAAAUUAUCUGACUUCGGUCUUUCAAGACCUUUGGCAGCUGAAAAUGGCACUUACAAGUCGACCAGUCCUUUGGGAACUCCUGGCUACCUCCCCCCCGAGUAAAGGCUUAAACUCGAUAUUGUUGAGAUAGUUCUUAAUCUCUAUACGCAUAGAAAAUCCAACAGUCCGUAUUCAUAUUACAUGUUCUGCAGGUAUCAACCAUCCGCUCAUGAAUUAAACCAGAAAGGUGACGUCUACUGUUUCGGGAUUGUGCUUCUUGAGCUAUUGACAGGACAACAGGCAAUGAUGCCAAGUGGAGAGGGAAAAAGCACGCCCAUACGGGAAUGGGCUAUUUCCAUCAUCGAAAGUGGGGAUAUGCAGAGACUUAUGGAUCGACGGUUACAAGGAAAAUUCGACAUCGACUCGGCC
Molecule: long non-coding RNA, 45474 nt
Filed under: Eucalyptus grandis
Lineage: Eukaryota; Viridiplantae; Streptophyta; Magnoliopsida; Myrtales; Myrtaceae
Description: long non-coding RNA (EGRA_LNC006121)
Source: RNAcentral